Molecule: long non-coding RNA, 58370 nt
Filed under: Gossypium raimondii (Peruvian cotton)
Lineage: Eukaryota; Viridiplantae; Streptophyta; Magnoliopsida; Malvales; Malvaceae
Description: long non-coding RNA (GRAI_LNC010888)
Source: RNAcentral
AGUUCACAGAAAGGUUCAUGCGGUUGAGAGUGCGCUCUGGAUGAACUUCACGACGAAUGAUGUUGGAAAUGUGGUGGAUAGCUGCAAAAUAGUCAUCUUUCGAAACAGAAGGGAUGGAAACAGAAGUACCUUGGGGAGAAUUUGCUAAGGUUAGGGUCCUAAAGGAACAGAGAAUGUUUUGUGAUUUAUUUCUAUAUUUGUGGAGCAGCUGUGCAGACCAGAGCAUUUGCAGUAGAAGUUACAGUCCAGUAACCUGCAUUUCCACCUCGAUACUCGUUAAUUGACAGAAGCAACAGAGGAAUAAUAUGCUGCAAUUUCAAAGAACUUCCGUACUGUAACAAGGAAUAAACAAAAAAUACCAAUCACAUGUACCACAUCGAAAAGGAAACAAGACAAGAUGACUAAAAUCAAUGGUAAAGAAACUCACUCUUAUCAUACAUUAACAUAUAAACAUAUUAAGCUCACUUCUAUGAGUCCUACGUGUUGCAGUUGUUGCUUCUUUAGACCUAGCCCUCUAGGGCAAAAAGAAUUUGAGCUACAUUUCGCUAACACCAAAGAGAAAUGCAUAAAAAUGGUAUAUUGAGCAUCAGAAAAUGGCAUUUCUUAAAAUAAUUUCACAUUAGCAACUUGUUUGAUAUACAAAAUUGAACGAUGAACUGAAUAUGUACAUUUCUUAUCCCACUCUCAUGUUCAUUCAAAUUGAGCAUGUUUUCAUGCUUUCAACAUCAAGGCAUCGUAGGUAACCCAUAGAAACAGAACAAUUAAAGAAGAAAAAAAAACCAAAUAACACAAAACAAAUAGCAUCAUAAAAUUGCUUGCAUAGUUUAACAAUCGGACACAACUAUUAAACAUAACCCAGUUUGAGAAAGCAAAGUUCAAUACUUGAAAGUAACAUUUUCUAAUAAAAGAAGUUGGUUUUAUCCAUUAAAGCUAAAUAUCCAUUAAUAAAUUUAUCACUUUUAACCCAUGUAUAUAACUUCCUAUAUCAAAGAAGAGAUUGGCAAUCUUAAAGAAAAUCGAACAGAAGCUUAAAGGUAGAGACUUUGAAUAACUCAAUUAAAUCUACAAGUUUGAGAGUUGGAGUUGGAACUAAAAUGGAAAAGAAGGAAAUACAUGAGAAAAAAAAUAAAAAUAAAGGACACACCUCCUUUCUCAGUGGCUGCUGGAGAGCGUGAAGACUUCAAAGACACAUAAAAACUAGAGAAAAAUAUGAAGUUUGGAUAUUGGGCCUUGAACUGAGUCCAACCCAGUAGAUUCAAUAGUGUACUUAUGAGGGGCUGAUUUGGAUUAAAUCCAACACUUAUAGCACGUUUGGAAUAGAGGCGUAAUGGAAUAGAGGUGUAAUGGAUUAGAGGUAUAAUAGUAUUCUUGUGUUUGGUUGAAUGUAAUAGAGGUGUAAUAGCAUAAUGGAAAAAACUAAAAUGACUAGAAUACCCUUAGCAUAAAUUUGUUUUGGUAAAUGAUUAUUGUUAUUGUUAUUUAAAUUUUAAUAAGAUUAUUAAUAUCAAUAAUAAAUAAUUUAAUCAUAUUUAAACAUAAUUAUUAUUAAAUAUAUUAUAAUUAAAAUUAUAAUUUAAUAAAAUUCUUAAUAGUUAAUAUUCUUAUAUGAAUUUACUCAAAUCAUAAUAUAUGAUACUAUAAAAUAUAAUUUAACAUAAUUAUUAUUAAAUAUAUUAUAAUUAAAUAUAUAUUAAUUAAUAAAAUUCUUAAUAAUUAAUAUUCUUAUAUGAAUUUACUCAAAUCAUAAUAUAGAUAAUUUAACAUAAUUAUUAUUAAAUAUAUUAAAUAUAANNNNNNNNNNNNNNNNNNNNNNNNNNNNNNNNNNNNNNNNNNNNNNNNNNNNNNNNNNNNNNNNNNNNNNNNNNNNNNNNNNNNNNNNNNNNNNNNNNNNNNNNNNNNNNNNNNNNNNNNNNNNNNNNNNNNNNNNNNNNNAAGCUAAUGAGGCCCCAUUUCCCACAAGUCCACAUGUAGAUCCUCGGCAAAGAGAAACUAAAGUUACAAAUAACCUUACUAGCUAUUCAUGCAACAUUCACACACUUUUUGGACAGGCACCAGGAGUCAACCUAUAAAGAAAUGUAACUUCUUCAGCUCCUUCAACUCCAUUUCCUACUUGGCACGCCUUAAAAAGAGCAGCACUCAUGAGCAGCACUCAAAACAGAUUUAACACGACCAUUGCAAAUUCAAUUUAACCCCGUUAUGCCAAAUUUGAUAGAAAAAAGCUUCGACAGAGCAGCAUGGUUCAUUGAGAUCAAUACACUUUCUACUUUGCAAAUUAACAGCAUGCUUCAUGAGAUAAUCAAGUGAUCUACAAUUAAAAACAAAUUAAACAGUACUACUGCUGAAUAUAUUUAAUGAAACACUUGAAAAGGGACCUCAAAAAAAGAUUAUUGAUCAUAAUUAGAAAACUCAUUUCACCGAAUUUGACAGAAAAACGCUUCAGCAGAAUCAGCAACGGUUCAUUAAGAUUCAUACACUUUCAUCACAUAUUGGCAGCAUGGCUCAACAGNNNNNNNNNNNNNNNNNNNNNNNNNNNNNNNNNNNNNNNNNNNNNNNNNNNNNNNNNNNNNNNNNNNNNNNNNNNNNNNNNNNNNNNNNNNNNNNNNNNNCAAUAACACAAACCCAUCAAAGUAAACCAAUCAAACUUAAAAUUUGACACGGUAAAGAAGGAAAAUAACCACUCAAAAUAAAAUGUGAAGCAGAAAAAAUCGUAAAACUACAUUCUAGUUUUGGUAAUUAAAACAUCUAGGUUAUCAACAAGUGCACAACCAUGUCAUUUGCUUCCUUUGCAUGUGGCAGCAUCUGUUUAAGUUCCUCCACCUUGACGAGAAUAUCCAUGCCCCCCUUGCAGCUUCCUCUUUUGCUUGUUCGGCAGCUGCCUCUUAAACUUCUUUCAUCAAGUUCAUAAUCGAUUGCAUGGUCUGAAACAAAAUUUUCUAAACCAAAAUCUCAUAAGUUAGCAGUUCAUCCUCCCAAAAUAGCAACAAAAAAAAAACAUUAGAAGUUCAAAAUUUCAAAGAUCAGUUCAUUCAUCAUGCUGCGAUCAACGAUAUAAUGGAAUAAGUUCUAGUAUUAUUAGCAUUGCAUAGGAUCAUUCUCAAACCCAAACAGCCUCCAAAGUUGACAAAAGAAAGUAACAAGUUUAGAGCAAAGAGUACCUUGUUAUCUUUAGCAUCUUCAAUGAUCUCUUCGAGUAGAUCAAUUCUACAUGUUUGACUUGAUCUACUAACAACAGUGUUGAAGGUUUCGUCCUCAACAUCACUCAUUUCACCAAUGCAACCCUGCUGGGAUUUAAGCCCUACAAAAAUUUCUGGCAAUUGUUCUUGAGAGUAUGACGAAACCAACAUGCUCACAGCAUUUUCUUCACCGACCAUGGUUCCAUUGAAUGAACUGCUUCUGCAUAAAUCUUCAUUAAAAUCCAUGGGUCCAUCAAAAUUUAACUUAUCAUCACUGCUGCCAUUCUCUAAAAACGGGGCCGUAUCAUCAGCCGAGGUGAAUGGGGCAACCUGUGGCGUCCUUGGAAACCCAUCUUCAAUGUCUGUGGUUUGGUCUUGACUUGAUGAACAUGAGAAAUCAAGAACCAAAAGUCAAGGAAAAAACAUUAGAAGAUACAGUAAGAUCCAUUAAGGUUCAUGAUAACUAGUUUUAGAAUCAACUUAGAGAAAUUUCCAUUGAAAUAGAAGAAAUAACAUACAGUUCACCCCUUUUUUAAACUCAGAAACAAUAAACUAUAUUAUAAUCCUUACUGAAGUUUGAUAGUUAAGCAAGUGAAAGCAUUUGAUAAUUCCAAAGCCCAGAACCCAAAAGAUCACAUAAAAGAAUUGCAUACAGCUCAUUUGACUGCAUUUAUCUUUCUUCCUCAAUAAAAAUGGAAAAGUAAAGAAAUUCUGAUCAGUCCUCUCAUAAAAAUUUUAACUCCUAACAUAGUACUAGAUUCAUCAAGAUGAUGAUCGUGACAGUUUUCCCAGAGACUUUCACUUUAACACCAGAAAUCAAGUAAAAAUAAAUUGAAUUCCAACAAAAUAACAGAAAUAAGGGCAUGGGUAUUGACAAUUAAAUGGUAAAGAGAAAACCAAAAUCAAAAUUUGACCCAACAAAAUAGAAGAAAUGAAGCUUUUGGGAAUCACCUGAAAGAAGUAUAGUUAUAGAAUUCAACAUCCAAACACAUGAAAAGAAGUGAAGCAGAGGAGAAAAUGGUUUGUCCCAAACGAAGAGCCAAGCUAGCGCUAGUUCCCAAUGCCCCUGGCACUUGCUCCAUCAUCUUUCAAGUCAGCUUACCUCUCCGUUUCUUCAUCUUUAAAUUCCCAAACAAGAAAGAAGAAAACAGAGUUCCAAAGAAAGUGAAAGAAGUGGUCUCCGAAAUUCCGAAAAAUUAUGCUUGCAAAAAUGGUUCUACCUUUGGGUUUUGUUUCUAUGAUGAAGACCUUGGAAGAGAGAAAUAAGAAAAGGAAGAAAGUGUUUUUUUUUAAUUCUGAAAAUAGGAAUUAUAUUGUUUUGACAUAGUUUCAUUCAUGUCUGUUUCAAUGUCUGUGAAACCCAUCUUCAAUGUCUGUUUCAAGAUUUGCAUAUAGACAGAGGGAGCAAAUCGGCAGAAAGGGUAAAAUAGGGAGGGUAAACCGAAGCGGCAGCUAAUCUGCGCAAAAGAGAGGGAUUAGAAAUCGAUGGUUUUCACCGAUUAGGAAAGUAAUGUAUUACACGCGUAUUAACAAUACAUUGAACCAAACGACGGAAUAAAGAGGGAUUAGGUAGGGCUCACCGAUUAGGGGUGUAUUGGCAUAGGCUAUGCCAAUACACCCAACCAAACAUGGUGUAAGUGUUGGAUUUAAUCCAAAUCAGCCUUUCACAAGUACACUAUUUAAUCCAAUGGGUUGAACUCAGUUCAAGGCCCAAUACCCAAACUUCAUAUUUUUCUCUGGUUUUUAUGUGUCUUUGAAGUCUUCACGCUCUAACUCUUUGCAAUAUCCAUCUCUAGCAGCCACUGAGAAAGGAGGUGUGUUCUUUAUUUUUAUUUUUUUCGCAAAUAUUUUCCUUCUUUUCCAUUUUAAUUCCAACUCCAACUCUCAAGCUUGUAGAUUUAAUUGAGUUAUUCAAAGUCUCUACUUUAAGCUUCUGUUCGAUUUUCUUUAAGAUUGCCAAUCUCUUCUUUGAUAUAGGAAGUUAUAUACAUGGGUUAAAAGUGAUAAAUUUAUUAAUGGGUAUUUAGCUUUAAUGGAUAAAACAAACUUCUUUUAUUAGAAAAUGUUACUUUCAAGUAUUGAACGUUGCUUUCUCAAACUGGGUUAUGUUCAAUAGUUGUAUCCGACUGUUAAACUAUGCAAGCAAAUUUAUGGAGUUAUUUGUUUUGUGUUAUUUGGUUUUUUUUCUUCUUUAAUUAUUCUGUUUCUAUGGGUUACCUACGAUGCCUUGUUGUUGAAAGCAUGAAAACAUGCUCAAUUUGAAUGAACAUGAGAGUGGAAUAAGAAAUGUACACAUUCAGUUCAUCGUUCAAUUUUGUAUAUCAAACAAGUUGUUAAUGUGAAAUGAUUUUAAGAAAUGCCAUUUUCUGAUGCUCAAUAUACCAUUUUUAUGCAUUUCUCUUUGGUGUUAGCGAAAUGUAGCUCAAAUUCCUUUUGCCCUAGAGGGCUAGGUCUAAAGAAGCAACUACUGCAAAACGUAGGACUCAUAGAAGUGAGCUUAAUAUGUUUAUAUGUUAAUGUAUGAUAAGAGUGAGUUUUUUUACCAUUGAUUUUAGUCAUCUUGUCUUGUUUCCUUUUCGAUGUGGUACAUGUGAUUGGUAUUUUCUGUUUAUUCCUUGUUACAGUAUGGAAGUUCUUUGAAAUUGCAUCAUACUAUUCCUCUGUUGCUUCUGUCAAUUAACGAGUAUCAAGGUGGAAAUGCAGGUUACUGGACUGUAACUUCUACUGCAAAUGCUCCGGUCUGCACAGCUGCUCCACAAAUAUGGAAAUAGAUCACAGAAUAUUCUCUGUUCCUUUAGGACCCUAACCUCAGCAAAUUCUCUCCAAGAUACUUCUGUUUCCAUCACUUUUGUUUCGGAAGGUGACUAAUUUGUAGCUAUCCACCACAUUUCCAACAUCGUUUGUCGUGAAGUUCAUCUAGAGCGCAUUCUCAACCGUAUGAACCUUUCUGUGAACUCUGAACUUGUAUUUCGCAUACUUCGUUCCUGCUCAAACUCUCAGAAUCUCUUCGCUUAUUCUCAUGGGCACGUUCCCACUACACCCCCACCUCCGUCGAAUUUGAGGAGCUAGUCAAGAUCCUCAUUCUCCAUAGAAAGUAUGAAUCCAUAUGGAAAACCAUUCAACAAAUGCAAAAGCAGUAGCUUAGCCUUUCUUGUGAUACCCUUUCUUUUAUCAUUGAAGAGUACGAGAAGAACGGCCUCAUAGACCAGACUGUGGAAGUUUUCAACAAAAGCACUAAUUUAGGUUGCAAACAGACCGUUAGCGUUAACAAUUCAUUGUUCUUUGCACUUUGUGAGGUGAAGAUGUUCCAUGGAGCAUAUGCAUUAAUCCGGAAGAUGAUUAGGAAAGGUGAGGUACCAGACAAGAGGACAUACACAGUUCUGGUGAAUGGAUGGUGUUACUCUGAGAAGAUGAAGGAAGCGCAAGACUUCUUGGAGGACAUGAGCAAGAAGGGGUUUAAUCCUCUGGUUCGAGGUCGAGAUUUGUUGAUAGAAGGUUUGUUGAAUGCAGGUUAUCUUGAAUCAGCCAAGAAAAUGGUAAGAAGAAUGACCAAAGAAGGGUUUGUGCCUGACAUUGCUACAUUUAAUUCUUUGGUGGAAACAAUCUGUAAAACUGAGGAGAUUGAUUUCUGCAUCGAUAUGUAUGUAAUUUAUGUAAUUUAUGUAUUAUGUAUGUUAUGUAUUAAGUUGUGUAUUAUGUAAGCUGUGUAUUAUGUAAGUUAUGUAAUAUGUAAUUUAUGUAUUAUGUAAGUUAUGUAAUAUGUAAUUUAUGUAUUAUGUAAUUUAUGUAAGUUAUGUAUUAUGUAUUAUGUAUGUUAUGUAUAAUAUUAAUUAAGUUGUGUAUUAUGUAUUAUGUAUGUUAUGUAUUAUGUUAGUUAUGUACUAUGUAAGUUAUGUAUUAUGUUAGUUAUGUACUAUGUAAGUUAUGUAUUAUGUAUGUUAUGUAAGUUAUGUAUUAUGUAUAUUAUGUAUUAAGUUGUGUAUUAUGUAAGCUGUGUAUUAUGUAAGUUAUGUAAUAUGUAAUUUAUGUAAGUUAUGUAUUAUGUAUUAUGUAUGUUAUGUAUAAUAUUAAUUAAGUUGUGUAUUAUGUAUUAUGUAUGUUAUGUAUAAUAUUAAUUAAGUUGUGUAUUAUGUAUUAUGUAUGUUAUGUAUUAUGUUAGUUAUGUACUAUGUAAGUUAUGUAUUAUGUAUGUUAUUUAAGUUAUGUAUAAUGUAAGUUGUGUAUUAUGUAUUAUGUCUAUUAUGUAUAUUAUUAAUUAAGUUGUGUAUUAUGUAUUAUGUAUGUUAUGUAUAAUAUUAACUAAGUUGUGUAUAAUGUAAGUUAUGUAAGAAAUGUAUUAUGUAAGUUGUGUAUAAUGUUAGUUAUCAAAGUUAUGUAUUAUGUAAGUUAUUUAAGUUAUGUAAGUUAUGUAUUAUGUAAGUUAUCAUGUUAUUAUGUAAGUUAUGCAAGUUUAUAUAUAAGUUUAUAUACAAGUUAUGUAAGUAUAUCACUUUUAUGUAUCUUAUUUAUAAUUAUUUUUAAAACUAUAAAAUUUAUUACUAAUAAAUUUGAAAUGUAGGUUAUAUAUCCAUACCAUAUAUGGGGUGAUAUAUUAAAAAUAUAGGUUUUAAUAUUUAAAAAUAACAUUUACAAUUAUUUUUAAAAUUAUAAAAUUUAUUGACAAUAAAAUUGAAAUAUAGGUUAUAUAUCCAUAGGGAUUUUUACCAAAAUAUUACAAAAAAAAUACAAAAAAAUACCAAAAUAUUACAACUUUUUUUAUUUACCAAAAUAAUACAAAAAAAAACAGUUAAAAAAAAAGCAUACUGAAGGAGGGCCUGCCAUAGGCGGCACCUUUGGUGCCUGUGGCACAGGCGGCACCAAUUGUUCGUAUUUUGGCCCUUUGUUCGUAUUUUUUUUCGAAUUUUAUUACUUUUCAAAAAUAUACUAUUUUUAAUUUUUUUAUUUUACAUUAUUUUAGUACAUUAUAUUUGAACUGUAUUAAUUUAGUGUGUUUUUUAAAUAAAUUUAAAAAAAUCAUUAUUUCGGCCCUCUGUUCGUAUUUUUUUCCCUAGAUUUUAUUACUUUUAAAAAAUAUACUAUUUUUAAAUUUUUUUAUUUUACAUUAUUUUAGUACAUUAUAUUUGAAAUGUAUUAAUUUAGUGUGUUAUUUUAAAUAAAUUAAAAAAACCCUUAUUUCAGCCUUAUGUUCGUAUUUUUUCCCGGAUUUUAAUAAUUUUAAAAAAUAUAGUAUUUUUUAUUUUUUUAUUUUACAUUAUUUAGUACAUUAUAUUUGAAAUUUAUUAAUUUAGUAUAUUUUUUAAAUAAAUUUAAAAAUAGUGUAUAGUUUUGUAAGUAAUGUAAGUAUAUCACUUUUAUGUAUCUUAUUUAUAAUUAUUUUUAAAAUUAUAAAAUUUAUUACUAAUAAAUUUGAAAUGUAGGUUAUAUAUCCAUACCAUAUAUGGGAUGAUAUUUUAAAAAAAUAGGUUUUAAUAUUUAAAAAAUAACAUUUACAAUUAUUUUUAAAAUUAUAAAAUUUAUUAACAAUAAAAUUGAAAUAUAGGUUAUGUAUCCAUACCAUAUAUAAAAAUUUUAAAAAUAUAUAUAAAUUUUAAGUAAUGUAAUAUAUUUAAGUAAUGUAAGUUAUAAAUUUUAGUAAGUAAUAUAUUUAAGUAAUGUAAUAUAUUUUAGUAAGUAAUGUAAGUAAUGUAAUAUAUACUUAAAUUUUAGUAAGUCAUGUGUUUAACAUUCUGUUAAAUCGGGCAGCCCAUUUUUACAAUGUAUAUACAAUAUCCAAAUCUCGUGUGUAAGAAACAAACAGCAGAGAAAUAACAAACUCAUUGAACAAAGCAGAACAGACAUGUAGGAACUUGGUGUGAAAGGAACUUUUUGUUCUCCAUGUGUUCUAUAUCAAUGUUUGAAUAUGUGUCGGGAAUCCAGAUAUAGCUGUCAGACGGAUACUUUAGGAACAACCGGAGAAUGAAGAAAUCCUGUAACAUAGUUUAACAUUGUUUACCAACUACAUAGCUAAUUACAGAGUGCUGGAAAGUCGAUUACGUUCUAAGAAAAUUACUUUCAACAAUUUUUACUGCAACAUGGAGAAAAAUUUAAAAAUAUAUAAAGAUGGAAAAGCAGCUAAAGCAUUUACCUGUAGAUGCAAUUUUAUACUAAAUUACUCCAAAGCCUCAACAGCAUAUGAAUAAAUUAGGCUUGGUCCAGCCCCACCCAAUAAGUUUUUCUUAAAAGAGAUUUUAAAAUGCACAAAAAUUUCCAAGCCAUUCAAAUGUUUUACCAAGUUAAAAGUUUAAAUAACACUUAAAGCAAAAACUGUGAUGCUUAUUUGAGGAAAUUCACAGUGAAGUCAACUAAAAUUAGAGAUUGUCGAAGAGUAAACUUUUGUAGUUUUAGUUCAGUUGUUUACCCCUUUUUACUAAUAACUAAAUAAAUUCAACUCUGAAAUCAGAAGGAAUAAAAGUAAGGACAUUUUGAUAAAAAUAAUAUCAGCAAACUUACCUAAAUACGAGCUGAUCAAUAAGGCAGUAACAAAUGGUUAAUCCACAAUUUUGAGUUCUCCUUUCUUUAACAGUUGGGCAAAUGCAGUGUUACUUCUGGGGAACAAAACAUGAACAUAAGAACAAGUGUUAUUUUGGGGGGCCCUUCAACAAUUAGAAGAACAAACUAGAAAACAAACACAGAAGAUUGGUACUUCUUCCCAAACCCUAGACACGCUAAAAUUCCCAAAUUCCCCAAAUUUCCAAACAAACUGGUACAAGCUUGGUGAUUGAACUUGGACUCUAAACCCCAAAUUCCUAAAUUACACUGAACCAAAACCCUACAUCAAGAUACAGUGUUUCAAAAGAAAAAAAGCUUACCUUUUAACCACAAAUUCCGUAGCUUUGAUAGUAUCCUGUCAAGAAUGACUCAACCGUUGCUUCGUUUCUGAUGAUUUCUGAGUUCUCCUCUCCCUUUUUUCCUUUGUAUUUUCUCUUUCGUUUUUAUCCCUUUCGUUUUGUCCUCUGUUUCUGUUUCUGUUUGUGUUUUGCCUUUUUCCCCUCUCUUUUUAGAAUCGGUAUAUUCCAAAUAUGGUGAAAAUCAGCCUAAUUCCGCAAAUACUUUUUUAAAAAUAACAUAUGCUAUUUAUUUAGCCUGUUUCUCUGCUCGGGCUCUGCCCGACUUAGGGCUAAGAAGAACACUUUUUUUUUAUUCAUUUUUUGGGUUUGGCCUAAUUUGUUUUGUUUGUAGGAUUAUUUUUUUCCGGUUUGGAUCGGAAAUUUGGACCAAAAUCAUAAAAAAAAAUCAGUUUUACUUGUUUUUUUAUCGAUUAUAGAUUAAUUCUCAAUAUAAUUGAUCCAGUCAAAUAGUUUGAUCCAAUACAAUUGAAUUUGAAAAAGGUUUUCAAUAAAUUAGAAAAAAAAUCGAAAUUGAUUACUUAACUUAAAAUAUUUAAGGAAUAAUGUCACAUUUAAUAUAUGUAUUCUUAUAAAAUGUUCAAUGUAAUAUAUGUAUUUUGAAAAUGUCUAAUGUGAUACCUAAAUUAUCAAUAUGUGUUUUAUUAUGUACUUGUACUUUCAUAAAAUGCCCAAUAUGAUACUCAUUGUCAAUGUUACAUGAACUAUCAAUGUGUGUUUUACUAUGGUACUUGGUAUUAACACUGUUAGUGAAUUGCUAAACCAGCCAAUGAAAAUUCGACGUGUAGAUCUUUUUUUUCAAAUCUAACAUUACGUGAAAAACUAAAUAAAAUAAAAUUUAAUUUAAUUUAAAAAACUAAACAUAUAGUUAAUAAAAAAGAAGUAAAUAUUAAACUUACAUAAGGAAAAACGCCAUCUUCUCCAUUUAAGUAAAUGAUCAUCUUUUCCCAAGAAUUUUUUUAUCUUAAAUUAAUUUUUAAGUAAUAUUUUUUUAUGUACAGGUACUUUCAUGUAAGUUGGUAUUUAACUAUAUUUUAUUAAUCACAUCUUUGGUUAUUUGUCUUUAAUUUAAAAUUUUUUUAUUUUACUUAGUGUGCCGAAUUUUUAUUGGCUGGUUUAGUAAAUUCACUAAUGAUAUUAACACUAACUACCAUAAUAAAAUACAUAUUAGUAAUAUGAUACCACAUUAAAUAUUUUAUAAAAAAUAUAGGUACAAAAUCUAACAUUAUCUUAAUACUUGAUUAAUUAAGCCAAAGAUGUAAACUUGUUGUAUAGGCAUGUACACUUCAAAAAAAUGUUGUCUUGAUUCACUAGGAGUUUUAUAAUAUUUAUAUAAACAAUAAUUUGAAGGUGUUACUUGCAACUUGCUGAUUGAGAUUUCUUUUGUUGUUAUCUUUUGUAACUCAUUUUGUGUAAUUUCAUGCAGUAAAUUUCGUGGUUAAUUUGAAUAAAUAAACAACUCUAAAUUAACAUUGAUAAUUCGAAGUUAUUUUCUUAAUCAAAAAAAUUAAAUGGAGAUAUCCAAUAAUGGAAAGUUUAAUCGGUUCAACGAAGAAAAAGGAAGUUAGGACUGUGGCUAUAACGACCUUUUGUUGCGUAUGACUAGCGUCACAUGCUAAUAUUGUGAACCGUAAAAAUUUUUGCAUCAUACUUCAUGUCUCUAUCGUAUAAAAUUAAGGAUUUUGAAGGGGUUCAGUCUUUUUACGUAACUGACUCAAAAAUAUAAUUAUUUAUGAAAAUGAUUUAAGUCAAAAUUUAUAUAUGUAUAUUAUACAUUCUUCACAAUGAUCUUUGUUACCCCCUGUCACACUAGCGGUAUCGCCCUCUCCUCAUUAGUCAAUAAUCACCUUUUUUAAAAAAUAAUCUUUUUGGAGGGCCGUCACUGUAUUAGGCGCCACUACUAUGUAUUAUUUAAAAUACCUAUUAAAUUUUUUCUUUCUUUUUUUCCUUCCUGAAUAUUCAUUUUUUUAACAAGUAUUUUGAAAAAUAGAUAUUAGUGUCGCCUAACAAGGUGGCAACACCCAAAAAAAUUAUUUUCUUUUUUAAAAAAAUUGAUAAUUGACUAGUGAUGAGGGCACGUGCUGCCGGUGUAUUAGGUGACACCAAUGAUCACUGUAAAGAAGAGUCAUUUACGUUCAUAAAUUUUGACUUUAAUUAUUUUCGUAAAUAAUUAAAUACUUUUGAGUCAAUUGCGUAAAAAACCCAUUGCAUAUGGCUUACAUUGUAAAUAAGCAAAUCCAAAAAGGCGGAUAUUAGUUAGCUUUCGAAGGGGUUUAGGGGUUUGGAUUUUUUGCGCAACUGAUUCAAAGGCAAAAAUUAGGAUAUAAGAGGGGUUCGGCUUUUUUACACAACUGACUCAAAAAAAUUAAUUUUUUAUGAAAAUGAUUCAAGUCAAAAUUUAUAUACGUAAAUGGUUCAUUCUUCACAAUGACUGUCGGUACCACCUAACACACUAGUAACACCGCCCUCUCAUCAUUAGCCAAUCAUCACCCUUUUCAAAAAAAAAAAUAUUUUUGGGUGUCACUACUAUAUCAAGCGGCACCACUAUGUAUUAUUUAAAAUACCUGCUAAAAAAUAUUUUUUUUCUUUUUUUCCUUCUUGAAUACUCGUAUUUUUAAUAGGUAUUUUGAAAAAUAAAUGUUGGUUUCACCUAACACUAUGGCGACACUUAAAAAAAUUAACUUUUUAAAAAGUCAAUAAUUAACUAAUGAAGAGGAAACUUGCCACGGGUGUAUCAGGCGACAGCGACUAUCACUGCAAAAAAAGAGUUAUUUACAUUCAUAAAUUUUGCAUUUAAUUAUUUUUAUAAAUAAUUAAAUUCUUCUGGUUCAGUUGCGUUAAAAAAAAGAAGAAGGAACAACCAUUGCAUACUGCUCACAUUGUAAAUAAGCAAAAUCCAAAAAGGCGGAUAUCGAUUAGCUUUUUAGUUUUUGAGAAAAAUGUAAGUUUUCUAAUAUUUGCUAUAAUAGGGGCAUAUCCAAAAAGGCCGAAAGCGGUUGACCUUUUAGUUUUAAUAUUCAAUUUCAAUAUUUUUAUCCAAUUAUGAAAAAUAUUUGAAUUCUAAAUUCUUAAAAUUUUAAUCUAUUUAUCUGUGUCAUUGGUGAUUUGGUUUUUAAGUUGUUUUUUAUUUUGGUUAUAAAAAAUACUUAUAAUUUUAUCACUUAAUUUUAGAAUGUUUUUCACUUAAGCAUUAAAUUAUUAACGGUAUCUAACUGUCACUAAGUCAUGUUCAUAUUAUAUUUACACUUUUAUUUUGGUCACCAAAAAUAUUUUUUUUAAAAUCUUGAUUCGGGUAAAAAAUAAUUAAAGAUUAACGUAAAAAAAAGAAGGUAGAAACUAAAAUAAUCAUUAAAAAUUAUUGUGUUGUACUUAUUUACCCCAUUGUCGAACAUUUUAAACUUCUUUUCUUUUCUUUUCUUUAAUAUUGAAAUUUUAAAUUUCAAAAUGUAACACCCCUCGUUCGACUCAAUCAUCGAAUCUAUGUUACAGGAUGUCACAUUGUUGUCAGAACAAUUACCAUUAAGUUCACAGUAAAACAAUCAGUUCAAAUCAUCAUAUAUGCAGCAAUAGUAGCAGCAACAACAACAACAUUAUAAACAUUAGAUAUAUGAUGUAUAACCCUUCAUAUAUGAGCGUAAGAAUGCUCUAAGGUUAACCCGAGAUUGAGCGAGGACCAAUUUAUAGAAUUUUCAAAUUUCAGUUUAACGUUGCAAUGUGAAGGGGUUCUUCGUUGCGACGUAAUUUAUAUUUGAUUCGGUGCCCUAAGUGUAAUAUUUUCAUCUAUGUACAUUUGUAAUUUUUUUGAACAUAUUGGUUUAAAAAAUUAUUCAUGAAUUACAUUAAUACUUUAUAUAUUGUCCUCACGUAGUUUUUGCAUGCAUAGCAAAAGAGAAGUAAAUUUUGUUAAUUGGUUGUCUAAUGCUUAAAUUGAUAAUAAGCGGUACUACGUGGUCGGAUCGUAAUACGGAAAGACAAUUUGUAUUAGUAGACAAACCUAAAUAUUACCUUAGUCUAAUUGAAAAUGAACCGAUUGGAAGACUAAUAUGUCAUCUAUCAAGUCCAAUUAGAAAGAUAUUUUGUUUUAAGCAUUGAAGCGGAUGACUCCAAAAAAAUAAACACAUUUGUAAUUUAUUAAUCUGGAUAGAAAAAUGGUGAAGAAUCUAAUUUAUUAAUCUGAUGUACUUUUUGUGUUUAAAUUUAGUUUUACUCAUAAUUUAAUCUAAUUUUUUACAUUUUAAUAUUGCACAUAUUUCAUGUGUUAUUAUUGUUGACACCAUUUUUUGAUGAAAACGGGAUCGACUUGAAUUUUGAAAAAUGAAAUGGGAGUCGCCACCAAUCCUUUUUUUAUGAGGUGUGAUUGGAUCACCUCGAAAAGUGGUUAUUUUUAAUAAACGAUUUGAUUUUAUUAAAAUAACAAGUUUGGUCUACGAAAUUCAGAAGAACGGGUUCGGGAGUCGGUUACGCACGAGGAAGGAUUAGCACCCUCGUAACGCCCAAAAUUGGUACCUAGUUGAUUAGUUAAUGUCUUAAUGUCGAAAAUUGAGAACUUUGAAGGCUUUUAAAAAUACGAUCAUUGUAUUAAAAGGUUGACAAUUUUCAGGAAAAGGGGCAUAUUUCACGUUAUUCGAGAAAGAAAAUCAUAUCCAAUAAGUUAGGACACAAUGUCUCAAAUUCCCGAUAUGUGAAUGAAAAAUGCUUAUUUAAAAGAUAUUUUAGCCAUCUCGGAUUUAAAAAUGAAAUCACGACCAGUAAGUUAGGACGCGAUUUUUUUAAAUCCCGAGAUCAUUUAAAAUUUGAGUUUUAAAAAGAUUCGUGUAUUUAGAUUUAUCGUGAAAAUCGAAACCCAGUAAGUUAGGGUACGAUCCUCUCGAAUCUAAACACGAAAUUUUGUUCAUUUUAAAAUCAUAUUAAAUAAAAUUAAUUUAGCAUGAAAUGGUAGGAGUAAACACAAUAUUAACUUGUAUAACAAAUGAUGAUGAUGAUACAAGCACAAAUAAUAUAAGCAAUAAUCAAAAGAAAUAAAAUACAUAAAUAAAAUAAUCAAGUAUAUGAAAUAAUAAAUAAAAGAAAACUAAAAUAAUAACGAACAUAAGAAUAAAUAAACAAAUAAAUAUCAAAUAGGAAGACAAAAACAAUACGAAAAGAUAAAAUACAUAUGUAUGUCCAUACAAAUUAAAAAGUACAAAAAUACAAGCACGUACAUAUAUGUAUAAAUAAAUUAUAAAAAUAUACACAUGCAAAUAUAUAUACUUUAAACUUAUAAAAUAUAAGAGUAUGUAAACAUAUAUAUAUAUAUAUAAAGUUAAGAUAAUUUAAAAAAAACUAAUUAAUAUAUUAGCAAUAGUAAUGAAUAAACAAAAGAAAAAUAAGACUGAGAAUAAUAAAUAGUAAUAAUAUAUUAAAAUGAUCAAUUUAAUAAUAAAACUAAAAUAUUAAGCAGAGUAUUAAAUUGAAACUAAACAAAAACCUUAAUGCAGAAAUAGAAAUUGGAAACAGAGAAAAGGAUCAAAUUGUGACACGCGCAUAGGAAGGGGGACCAGAACAGAAAAUAUCCCUCCCUCCAAAACGCAUCACUUUGAUUGGGACUAAAAUGAAACAAAAGUAAAGUUAUGCGGCUAAAUUAAAAAACGAAAAGGGACCAGAUUGCACUAAGGCGCAAAAUUGGAAGGACCAAAAGAGUAAAUAACCCAAAUUUCAAAAACACGCGGAUCCCCUGAUCGGGUCGGGUCGACGCGCGGGUAAAAGGGCACUAAGGCCAAAACGGCGUUGUUUUGGCUACUGGGGUUAAACCCCAAAACGGCGCCGUUUCAACCUUUUAUAAAACCAAUUUUUUUUUUUAAAUUUCAUUUUUCUUUCUUCCCUAAAAAAACUCAGAAAUUUUCUCUCAAGUCUCUCUCUCCCUUUUGAAAAUUCGGCCAGGAGUCCGUUCAUCAGCCGCCGCUCCGGCCGUCGGCGACGGCGCCACCGCGCACGGUGGCCGAAAAACUAAAAAAAAACACUUUUUCACUCUUUUUUUCGAGCAAAGCCCCGAUUUGGGGUUAAGAUAGCUCAAAAGGCUCUCAAAAGUCAAAAAAGAGAAGAAGAAAAAAAGAAAAAAAGAAAACCCUUCGGUUUCUCCUCGCCGCCGGUGGGGUCCUUUCGGCAAGCCAGUUGGCCUGACCACCUUCAAGACGGAGGAGUCCCCCAUUACCCGAAAGGUAACAAAUUUCUUUUUCUUAUUAUUUCCUUUAUUUUGAAAUAAAAAAUAAAUAAAUAAAUAAAGCACCUUUGUUUCUUUGAAUCUGUUUUUUUUGCUUUUUUUAUUUCUUGAAAUUGUGAAAAAAAAAGGGUGGGGGGGAACCCCCGUUACAGAGAUGAUACUUGGCUUUAUAGCCAAUGCUAUUUUCAUUUUCAUUUUUCAUUUUUCUCUGUUUGCUACUGUUCUUUGCGUGUUUUCUUCUCAUUGCAGGUGGAGCAGGUGCACGGCGCCGGUGCAGAUGGGACGUGCGGCGAUGGGACAAAGGCAGUGGCAGCAGGUCCUAGCAUGCGGCGCCCUAGGGUUAGGUUUUUUUUAUUUUUGCUGAAAUUGUUUUAAGUUUGGGCCGUUUGGGCUUGUAAUAUCAUUUGGGUAUUGGGCUAGUGUUUAGGUGGGUAAUGGGUUAAGUUUAUUGGGUAAUGGGUUAAGUUUAUUGGGUAAUGGGCCGGGCAAAUAUUGGGCUUGUACAAUUAUUAAUUAGUUCCAAAGUAACAUUUCAUUAUUUAUUCUAUGUUAUUUCUAAACAUAAAUCUAUGUUCUAAAUAUGUGAUUUUCAUACACAUACAUGUGCGAUAAAAUUUCUAGUGUUAUUUAUAUAAAAAGGUUUAAAUAUGUCAAAAGUCCAUGUGCCCUUUCUAUUUUAAAAUUUAAUAUACUUGAAUUUUAAGACAUUGAGUCCCUAUAUUUUUUUAUUUAAAAAUCUUGAUCCCUCCUUUUAAUUUUGUUGUUAAAGUUAAUAAUGUUAAAGGUAAAAUAACAUUUUCUGUCCUAAACAUUGACAGCUUUUUGCUAAUUUGGUCAUUACCCUUUAAAAAAACAUUUUUUUUAAAUUUUUUCAUAUUUUCAUUAAAAACAUAAAAAAUUUAAAAAUGAAAAAUUAUGAAAAAUAAAAAUAUUUAAAAUUAAAAAAAUUGAAAUGAUUGUAAAAAUAUAAACAUAAAUUUCAAAUUUCUAUGUUAUCUAAAUUGGACUAGAUUGGUCAAUCAGGCCAGGAACUGGUUGGGUUAUCGGUUUAAAAAUAAAAAAACAAAAGAUUUUCCACCAUGAAAUUUUUUUAUUGUUCUUUAUAAAUUCCAACUUAGCAAAUUUGACGGAAGAAUAGACAGAGUUAGUGACUGAACCAACAUUUUUAAAUAUAAAAAAUACAAGAACUUAAUGUCUCAAAAUUAAAAUAUCAUGACUAAAUUUUAUGGUUUAUUUGUUGGAAAAUUAAACUGCGGUGCAUUUAGCUUACUUUUUGUAAAAAAAAAAGUGACUAUUUUGGUAGUUUAUCCUAUUUUAACCUUUAUACUAUAAAACAUUUGUUAUUAAUAUAAUUAUUAUUAAAAUAUUAAUAUUGAAUAUUUACAAUUAUAUGUGAAUAAUAUUAUUUAAAAUUUAUUAUUAAUAUAAAAUUAUUAAAUAAUUUGUUAAAAUAAUAAAUUAUAUUAAUUAUAUCAAUAAUUUAUUAUAUGAUUAAAAAUAAAUGUUUAAUAAUAUUAAAAAUUAUAAUAUUUUAAUAAUUUUAAAAAUAAAAAUAAAAUUUAUUAUCAAUAUAAUAGAGGAACUUUUUUUCGGAAAAUAACUUACGCUUUUCGAGAGAGUAAGUCAUUUUACAGGAAAAAUAACUUAUUUUUUGUUGAUAUAUAAGUUAUUUUUUAUUGACCAAGUUGUUUUAUGUUAAGCAAAUAAGAAAAUACAGAAAAUAUUUUUCGAAACUUAUUUUCCGUGAAACAAACGAAUCCUAAGCUUUUAAGAAGAAAUAUUAGUCGAAGAGUGAUUUAAAUUAUGUAUAGAAGUAAUGUUAUAAUUGAACUUAAAUCACGUCCAUGUUACUCUUUAGAUAAGAUCUAGAAACAUAAAAAAUUUCCUAACUGCAAUAUAAAACUUGUAUUUAUAUCUUAUUUUUACACCGUUAAUAAAUCCAUUCUCAAAUUUCAAUUCCAUUUUCCUUUUCUUGGAGUAAAAUGGGCCAUCAAAUGGGGCUUGUACGCCCAUUAUUCUCAACCAAGAAAAUUAGGAUCUACUUCAUUUUCAGAUACUGUUUGAGUCACUUUCAAUCCAGAAAAUGCCAGCAUGACCCAAUCCUGCCGGAGCCAAAUUUAAAGAAAGAAAAAGAUAAACAUCUAAUAUCUGAAAAAAGAAAAUAGAACUCUUUUGUUUCAAUAUGUCCUAAUUUGAGAAAAAGAAGAUGAAUUCAUGCAGGCCUGCUGAAGAAUGAUACAAACAGUAACUAAAAAAUGAUUCUUUUGUUUCAAUAUGCAUGUACUGUUGGAUGUGGUACAAAUUAAAGAAAUGAAAUAAAAUAAGCCAAAAUCAUAGACUAAUUCAAUGACUUCAACCUAUCAAUGGCCAUUCAUUCAUGCAGAGCCUCUCAAAUAAAUAGAAUUAAGAAUCUAAUUUAUAACUCUACCACGUACAAAAAAUGGAAGCCCUUCAGAUUUUCGUAGCCAUUUUCAUCUUGGCUCUUGCAUCGCCUUUGACCUUUGCCUCUGAUCCUAGCCCUCUUCAGGACUUUUGUGUAGCCAUUAAUGAUCCCAAGGGCUCUGGUAUGUCUUCUCUUCAAAUACUUUCAUUUUUCUUGAGCUACUUGUGUCUGUGUCUAAUGUAUAUCCGGACAUGAACAGCAUAUGAAUCUCCUUUUACACUCGUAUCUAUCACAUCCAUAUAUUCGACACUUAAAUUCAAGUUUUAGUAACAUAAACUCAUCUUUUCUUCUUCUUCUGGUAUUGACUAACAUUUCUUGCUUUCAUGCAGUGUUUGUCAACGGAAAAUUCUGCAAAGACGCAAAGCUUGCCAAAGCAGAUGACUUCUACUUUUCAGGUCUCCAUAUCCGCAAAAACACAUCCAACACAUUUGGAUCUACUGUCACACCUCUUAAUGUUGCACAGAUGCCAGGACUUCACACAUUGGGGAUAUCUAUGGUUCGAAUUGACUAUGCACCUAACGGUGGCCUGAACCCUCCUCACACUCACCCUCGUGCCUCAGAGAUUCUAGUUGUUCUGGAAGGCACACGCCAUGUCGGUUUCAUUACAUCGAAUCCAGAUAAUCGUUUGAUUUCUAAAGUCCUAUAUCCAGGAGAUGUCUUUGUUUUUCCUGUGGGUCUCAUUCACUUUCAGUACAACAUAGGGAACACCUAUGCUGUCGCCUUUGCUGGUCUUAGCAGUGAAAACCCAGGGGUGAUCACUAUUGCAAAUACAGUAUUUGGCUCAAACCCUUCCAUUAAUGCUGAUAUUCUUGCCAAGACUUUUAAUCUGGAUAGGAAAAUGGUGAAGAAUCUUCAAUCCAAAUUCUGAUGGGAUAACAUUCGAAGGAAUGUUCGAAUGAUGUUUGAAUUUGUCAUUUGUUAUUUAUAGUAAAAUUAAAUUUUAUUUUAUUUCUGAAAUAUAGAAUAAAAGAGGUUGUUUAUGGGCCUCAUCUUAUGUUUGUUUGAAUUUUAGCAUAUUAUAAAAUUGAAAAGUGGUCUUUAUUUGAAUCCAUAAGAAAUAUUUAAGUAACAAAUUACGAAUUGAGUUUUAACUCGAUUGGUAUGGGUAUUGUUAUCAAUGUAAGAAGUUCUAGAUUCGAGUGUGUUGAAACGAAUUAUUCUCCUAUUCAUGGGUUGGGAGGGGCUAUGAGUAAUUUUAGGCAUUAUCUCAAAAAGAGCAAAUAUAAUUAGGACUUAUAAUGAAAUUAUUAAAAAAAAUAACAAAUUAGAUCUUCAACUUUACUGGUUAUUUUAUUUUAGUUUUUCUUUUGCUACUUUAUUUUUUAUACUUGAAGUAUUAUUUUCAUCUCAAGAAAAAUAAGGAUGUGGAUGCCAAUAGUUUUUGAGGUAAAAUAAAACAAAAGUAAUAGUUAAGUAAAAAAAUUAAAUACUAAAAUGAGAAAUUUUUAUACUUUAAAUUUCAAACUGUGAUAUAAAGUCAUAUCUAAAUUUGAGCCAAAAAUAUUAAACAAAACAUGAAAACAUGUUUUUAUUUCAAUUCAAGUUUAAAUGUUAUUCGCUUACGGCAUGUUUGGUUCAUUGGAAUAGAAUAGGACUGUAAUGGAAUAGUCAUUCUGUGAGAAUAGAAUAAGGUUGUAAUGGAAUUGAAUAGACAUAAUAGUAGUUUUGUUAGAUGGAAUGGAAUGAGUAUUGUAGUAGUAUUCAUGUGUUUGGUUGAGAGGAAUAGAUAUGUAAUAGCAAAAAAGAUACUCGAAUGACGAAUAUGCCCUUUAAUAAAUUAAAUUAAAUUUUUAUUUUUGUAAAAAUAUUAAAAAACCAAAAACGUUAAAUGCUAAAAUGACAAAUAAUUAAAUUUAUUGAUCAUUUUUUAAUUUUUUAAAAUUAAAUGCCCAAAAUGUAAACUUACUAAUAGUUUACCCAUAAAAAUCCAACAAAAACCCAAGCCCACUUGCCCACCAAAAUUCCAAAACCCACCAACCAUCAUCACUUUCUUCCCCAUUUUUAGUUCACGAUAAAUCUUUUCCUUUCGACCAAAUUUUCCACCAACAAUUGUUCUUAAAAUUGCUUCAUUUCAACAUUUUUAUUUUAUCUAAAAUGAUAAAUCUUUAUCCUUCAAAUUUUUUUUUGACAUGAAAUCUGAGAUUUUUAUUAAUAUUAACUCAAGCUCAGUAAUCUCACACACCCUAAAGCUUCUUUCAGCUCGUUUGAGCUCAAUUUAAUUUAUUUCCAGCUCAUUUACUUUAUUGCUAGAAUAAAUUAAGUGAUUACUUUAAUUAAUUUAUUUUGUUUCAGCUCAUUGAUUAGUUUAUUAGCUCAUUACAGCUUAUUACAUGUUUUUUUAGUAUAAUUUGAGCUAGCCGAAUUAAUGUGUCUUGAUAAGUCAAUAUUUAAUUUGUCUUAGCUUCAUUAUAUUUUAUUAAUGUGUCUAAGGUAUGAAUUUAUUUUGUUCCAGCUGAAUUUAAGCUUGCCUUAACUCCAUAAAUGUGUUCAUUGUAUUUUGGUGCAGCCAAAAUCAUGAAGGAUGAUUAAUGCUAGGUGCAUAAACAACUGGUUACAACGAAUGGAGAGAUUCAUGCAUGACCUGCUACAAUGCACGGUGGUUGAUUGUUUGGAUUCUCUAAGCACCUAUUCGGCUAAGAAGUAGCUGCCCAUCAAUUUUCCAAGUUGGCUGAACAUCUUCCCAAGGCAACCUUGAAGGUGUUCACACUUGCUGAAUAUCCCAUUCAUACAUGAAGUCCAUUCGGUUAUAACCAUUCACAUUCAAAUGGCUCUUCAACUUGGUGUUCACACUUCUAAUGACUAUUCAAGCUGCCCAAUCAAUGCCUUCAACAUUCGGCUGAACAAGGCAAAUUAAUUGAGCUCAUUUAAGCUCAUGGCCGAACCUAGACAUGCCCAAUCAGCUCCCAAUGCUUCCAAAUUCAUUCAGCUGAACUCCUUCCUCAUUAAGCUAACUUGUGGAGUCCCCAAAGACUGAACAUGGACAAUGAAGGCUUAUGGAUUUAUCCAAGAUUAUUUCAGCUCAUUUAAAGCUGAAUAUUUAGUCAUUAAGCUAUGAAUUUGUCUAUUCGGUUAGCCUCUGUCAUAGCUAUAAGUACUUAGCUAUUUUCAAUUUGUAAGGACUUUUGUCAAGACUUUUAUCAAUUUGAAUGAAAUUUGAGUUCUUUGUGAGGUUUCUUCCUCUCCAAAUUUCAUCCGAGUCUCACUUGACUUAUCUGCUCGUCAGUGGUGUCAAUUUGAUUCUCUUUUUGAACUUUUCACCAUUUUGGUGUGGCGUUCACCCUAUCCUUUAUACCUUUGGUUCCUAUCUUGUUAGGUAAUGGGUCAAGGUUCCAUUCUUUCAUUCACCAAACCACCUUAAGCUAUAUAAGUCUCGGGUCACACUCUUUAUAGUGUUGGUUCGUUCUUGACGCUUGAGUUCAAUUUCCAUUCCACCUACUUAUCAAAUUACUUAUGUUUAUAUCUUUGGUAGCCCAACCUAUUCAAACCAUACUUAACCUACUUUGAACUUAUUUACACCCACUAUCCUAUUAUUUAGCCGAUUACAAGCCUAUUACUAGUUUGGAACAAUACUUUCUCGUCGAAGAUCAGACAACUAAUAUGACUCGACUCACUUUACCGAGGCAGAUCGCAUCAAUAACUUUUCUUUAAGCACUGCUCGUUCUGGUGAGUAUUUCACCUAGCCACUGUUGAAGUCCUUCUCUUUCAUCUAUUUGGUAAUCAAGAAUCCCUAACUCCUGCCAUAUGUUUUUAACUACUUGGCAAUCUCUGAAGGCAUGUUUUCAAUUAUGUAUGCUUAUUUCUUGUUUUAAUAUUUUUGGGAUAUUAAUUCAUGUUUAAUGUGCUUAUUUCAGUGUUUAAUGAAGCAAAAGUCCCUGUUUAAGAGUAGAUUUAGCAUAAUUGAGUGGAGUUGCAUGCAAUCCUAGAAAUAGGACGACAUAAAUCUAUCGGAUUAGAGUCAAAUAUAAUAAGAGAAUUCAUAGAUCGAGUUAAUGUGACGAUAGGGGUUUUAAUUAGAAAGAGAUUUCAAUUAAUCAACCUAGAGUCAGUUGUUAGGGAUUUCUACGGAUCAAGACACAAGUGAAUAAAUUGUUUAAUUUAAAUUCAUAAUAAUAGGUGAAGUCUAGGUGGAUUCUUUCCUGAGUAUUGUCUAUCUCAUUGGUUAAUAUUUGAUUAUUUCUUUGAUUCAUUCUCUGUUGCGUUCUGAGUUAAAUUAGUUUAGUAAUUUUAGAUUAAAACAUAAUCAUUCCAAUUUUUAGGCUAAAUAACAAGAAGACGGUAAUUUUAGUACUUUUAGUCCUCGUGGAUACGAUAUUCUCUACUCACCAUAGUUAUACUAUUGUUCGAUAGGUGCGCUCCCUCUGUCUUAUUUUUAGUUAGUUUAGUGACCAUCAAGUUUUUUUGGCGCCUUUGUCGGGAACUAAAAUAUUAGGAACACUCGAUUUUAUUAAUUUAGCCAUUUUUAUUUUUAUUUUUAUUAUAAUUUUUAUUUUUAGUUUAAUUUUUACUUUCUAUUUUUUCUUUUAUUUGCUUCUGGCAAGUUCCUUUAGUUUAUGUCUAGAAGAAACCCGUCAAAACCAUUGUAAUUUGACAGUGAAAUUAAAAGUACAGCUCGUAAAAACCGUAGAGAAACAAGGCAGAGUCGAGAGAAUUUAGUAGACGAACAAGAGUACUUUGUUAUUAUCGAGAAGAUGAGUGGUAAUCAGAAUAAUCAGCUACCUCCUACAGUUGUUGCGAAUCCAGAUCAUGUUCCUCGUACUAUGUACGAUUAUGCCAAGUCCACUCUGACUGGGGCUAAAUCGAGUAUUGUGAGACCCAUUAUUGAUGCAAAUUAUUUUGAACUAAAGCUGAACACUAUUUAGAUGGUACAAUAGUUUGUUCGAUUCUAAGGUUUGCAAGACAGAGAUUCAAAUACUCAUUUGGCUAAUUUUCUAGAAAUUUACGAUACUUUCAAGAUUAAUGGCGUCACUAACGAUGCCAUUCAUUUACGGUUAUUCCUUUUCUCAUUGAAGAACAAAGCUGAACAGUGGAUAAAUUCUUUAGCCAAAGGGGAUUUGAGUUAAAAACCCGAAGGGCGGCUCAAAUAUUGAUCAGAAUGGGGCAUGAAGUGAUCAGAUUGGGGCAUGUGGUGAUCUUACUAUACCUGAAAGGGUAAGGCGACAUCUUGGGGCAUCGACAGAGUCCUGAAGAUCUCCUAAACACAUGUCAAACUCAGGAAAGUCUUCAGAAAGUUUGUACAGAGAAGUUCAAGCUGCGAUAUCUGGGGCACCUAACCUUCAUACUAUUUAUAUAUUAAAUUUGUUGUUGUUCUUGGAAUACUUCAUUCUUUUUCAAGAUACGUGUUCCAAUCAAUUCCUCUUUUAUUCUUGCUACCCUUGAUAAUUCAUUCAUUUCGAGCUUGCUGUCAAAUCAAUUCUAUUUCAUCCAUCGUUAUAUUCUUUUUUGCAAGUAUGUUGCAUUGGAAUGAUGAUACUUUCACAAUGAAAGUUUUACAUAUUACUCUAGAAGUUUCUAAAUAAUAUAGGAACCUGAAACAGGACUAUCGUUUAGAAAACACCAAGUUUAAAGGGUGAGAUAUCUAAGAAGGAAGAGUCUAAGUUAAAGACUAUCCUUUCAGAUUUUGUUGUCCAAACAUUGAUUGAACAAAAUGACAAGAUGCCGUGUUGGUGACAAAGCUUCAAUGAACAAAUAAGCAAUGAUCACUGAGUAAUAAGAAAAUAUUUUCUCGGAGAAGAAAAUUUUGCAUGAGCAUUUGGUAUGACACAUUGGGAAUGGGGUAAAGAACCAAAGAGCUUCACAUUCUGUAUCUUUGAAUUGCGAUAGGAGAAGAUUGAAAAAAGCCAUAUCUUUCUACCCUUGGGUUACAGUGGGAGAUUGAUGGUACAAAUUUUAUGACCCAGUGGAUUGAACUUUGACGUUCACAGUGGGGGGCAAUCAGAUUAAGUGUUUCUUUGGAUAUGCUAGCCGAGCAAGAAGGCGGUGUAGCACGUCAGUGAUAAAGCCUUAAUAAGCUUUUGCGUGAUGAUAACUUAAGCAUUAAGGAAUCAUUUUCAUAACAUUUUGCAUUCAUUCAAAUGUCAUUCAUACACAUCUAGUUAGGAGCAUUUGAUUCGUUCUGAUCAUGUCAUCCUAAUCACUAGGCACAAUUAGGUUCAUAAAAUAGAACAUAUAGGCAUGUUCCCCAGAGAACAGAUCAAUGAAGAUAGCAGAUCUUAUCUUCCUGUAUUUGGCAGCAGAGGAGAUCGAAGAUAACAGAUCUUGUCUUCCUGUAUUUGGCAGCGGAGGAGAUCGAAGAUAGCAGAUCUUAUCUUCCUGUAUUUAGCAGCGAAGGAGAUCAAAGAUAGCAGAUCUUGUCUUCCUAUAUUUGGCAGCGGAGGAGAUCGAAGAUAGCAGAUCUUAUCUUCCUGUAUCUGGCAGCGGAGGAGAUCGAAGAUAGCAGACCUUAUCUUCCUGUAUUUGGCAGCGGAGGAGAUCGAAGAUAGCAGAUCUUAUCUUCCUGUAUUUGGCAGCAGAGGAGAUCGAGGAUAUCAGAUCUUAUCUUCCUAUAAUUGGCAGCGGAGGGGAUCGAAGAUAGCAGAUCUUGUCUUCCUAUAUUUGGCAGCGGAGGGUGUAACACCCCGACCCGUGUCCAUCGACGGAUUAGAGUUACGGGGCAUUACCGAUCAAAAUUUAAUAUCAUAAAUCAAGCAAUUAUCCAAACAUUUAUAUCAUUUCAAUUUACUAACUAUACUACAUAUAAUACAAAUAUUAUUUUCAAAUUAGGCUUAACUAUACUAAUUUAUAAAACUAUUUACAAAUAUGCUAAACACAUCACACUAACAUAUAAAUAACCGAAAUUUUUGCAUAAGCUUAAACAUCAUAUAUAUAUAUCAAAUAGAUCACAACCAUAAAACCAAACUUAACCAAAAUGAAUAAGCCAUUUUCGCAUGGCUCAAAUUCACACAUCCCAAAAUUAAACAUAUAAACUAGACUAUACAUGCCAUAGGUUCGAAUUCAAAAUUUAUAAAAUACCAAAGACAGUCGAUAGUGUGAUAGACUAUGCUGAUGAUCCCCGAGCUCGUAACGCGACUCCAAAAUCUAUAAAACAGAGUAAACAAAUACAAACACACAUUAAGCUAUUAAAGCUUAGUAAGUUAUACAAAAAAAAUUCAUUUAUAUAUAAAUGCAUAAUAAUACUUAUUCCAUCAUUAAGAUAAAAUAAACCAAAUAUCCUAAUAUUUCAUACCAUCUAACACUUUAAAUAAUAAUAAUAAUAAAAAAAUCACAUUGNNNNNNNNNNNNNNNNNNNNNNNNNNNNNNNNNNNNNNNNNNNNNNNNNNNNNNNNNNNNNNNNNNNNNNNNNNNNNNNNNNNNNNNNNNNNNNNNNNNNUUUUCAUAUAAACAAACCAUAUGGCCAAAUACACAUAAAUAUUUAGCAAAGCCAAAUAUUCAAUAAAUCAUUAUGUCAAAACAUGCUUAUAUUCAAAUGGUAAACUCAUACUAUAUAUUUCAUUUGAAACUAUUAUCAAAUUAUAACAAUCAACUUACCUUAACACUAAUUAAGCAAAUGGCUAACACAUACCUGAAUAAUUUAGCUUUUACUAUUACUCACAUAAGAUUUUUAUAACAUAGAGACUUGUAUAAAACACCGGCAUAAAGCCUGCUAGGCACAAAGCCCGAUACAUUCCACCGGCACAAAGCCUGCUAGACAUAAGGUCUGAUACAUUUCACCGGCACUAAGUCUGCUAGACAUAAAGUCUGAAGUAAUUCACCGGCAUCAAGCCUGCUAGACGUAAAGUCUGAAAUAAUUCACCGGCAUCAAGCCUGCUAGACGUAAAGUCUGAAAUAAUUCACCGGCAUCAAGCCUGCUAGACGUAAAGUCUGAAACAUCUUAUUUUCAAACUAUAUAUAUAGUAUAUAAAAUCCAUGUAUAGAGAUUCAGCUCAAAAUUCAUUACUUAUAUUUUUAAAACACAUGGAUAUAUAAAUCUCCAUCACCAAAUCUAACUUGAUAAUUCAAUAAUUCAACCAAAACAUAUUUGUAUAUAUAACCUCAUACUUUUGAUUCUACUACUAAUAUCAUAAGAUUUAACUUAUAAUAUACUAUGUGUCUUUAACAUUCAAACAUAUUAAAAUAAUCUAAGCUAAUAAUUUCAUACCAUUUAUUCAAUACAAAACUUGUACAUUUGCAUAUACGUUCACAUUUGACUUCAUGUCAACAUAUAUAAUUCCAAACCUAAUUUCAAUUCAAGAAAUUAUACAUGUACAUUUAUACAUAUUCGAAUCUACCAUAUAAAUAUAUAAAUUCAUACUCAAUUUCAAAACAUAAACCUAUACAUAUAUAUAUGACAUAUCUAAAUUCAAUACACAACACAUAUAUCUGCAUACUCAUUUGAANNNNNNNNNNNNNNNNNNNNNNNNNNNNNNNNNNNNNNNNNNNNNNNNNNNNNNNNNNNNNNNNNNNNNNNNNNNNNNNNNNNNNNNNNNNNNNNNNNNNNNNNNNNNNNNNNNNNNNNNNNNNNNNNNNNNNNNNNNNNNNNNNNNNNNNNNNNNNNNNNNNNNNNNNNNNNNNNNNNNNNNNNNNNNNNNNNNNNNNNNNNNNNNNNNNNNNNNNNNNNNNNNNNNNNNNNNNNNNNNNNNNNNNNNNNNNNNNNNNNNNNNNNNNNNNNNNNNNNCCUUUAAAUUUAAGUUCAACAAAAUACAAUACAUUUACAUACCUAUAUAUCGAUUUAACAACAUUAAAUAGCUAUUAGACUUACCUCGGAUAUCAGCGGACACGAUCGACUACUCGACUACUUUCGUUUUCCCCCGAUCCAAUUCCGUUUUCCUCGUUUCUUGAUCUAAACACAUUUAAAUUUAACCUUUUUAUUCAUCAAAAUAUUCAAUUAACUCCAAAAAUACAUAAAUGGACAAAUUACUAUUUUGCCCUGACAUUUUACACUUUUUACAAUUUAGUCCAUUUUUGCACAAAACACAAAAUACAUAAAUUUUGCCCACAUUAUGUUAGGGCCGAAUAUUUCAUAGACCCAUAUAGAUCCUUGCAUGUCAUUUAUUUCACCUUUUAGUCCCUCAAUUAAAUAUUUUCUUACAAAUUAAUCCAAAAUAAUUAAAUUCAUCAAAAAUUCAAGAACACACAUCAUAAUCUAUCACAUAUCUUUCAUAUUUCAUCAUCAACUAUUAUCAAGCUCAAGUAUUCAUAAAUGACAUGUCUCAAAAUCACUAUCAAAUUCUAAAAUUAAAGCAUGGGCUAGAUAUAACACAAAGCAACGAUCACAAAAACGUAAAAAUCAUCAAAAACCGAAACCAAACAUACCUUAAAUCAAGCAUCAAAGAUGGCCGAAUAGCUUGGUUGUUCUUCUUUUAUUUUCUUUUCUUAGUUUCGAAUAGAUGAUAAGGAAAUAAAAGAUGAUGGUGGUCUUUAUUUGUUUAAUUAUAAUAUUAUAAUAUACUAUAUAUUAUAACAUUUAUAAUUAAUAUAAAAACUAUAUAUAUAUAUUAUACACAUAAUGCCGCCCACUAUUCUUAUUAAUGGUUAAAUUGCAAAACUAAACCUCCAUAUUAAAAGAACAACCACUAUUCAUCCCCUUUUUAAAAAUAACCAUUAAAUUUUUAUUUUACGCGAUUUAAUCCUUUUUAUUUAAUCGGACACUCAAACGGCGAAUUUAAAGCACGAAAUUUUUACACUAGUAAAUUCACACAUAAUAAACACAGAAAAUAAUAUUAAAAUAUUUUUUUGACUCGGACUUGUGGUCCCGAAACCACUAUGUCCGAUUAGAGUCAAAACCGGGUUGUUACAGAGGGGAUCGAAGAUAGCAGAUCUUGUCUUCUUAUAUUUGACAGUGGAGGAGAUCGAAGAUAGCAGAUCUUAUCUUCCUGUAUUUGGCAGUGGAGUAGAUCGAAGAUAGCAGAUCUUGUCUUCCUGUAUUUGGCAGCAGAGGAGAUCAAAAAUAGCAGAUCUUAUUUUCCUAUAUUUGGCAGCGAAAGAGAUCGAAGAUAGCAGAUCUUGUCUUCCUGUAUUUGGCAGCGGAGAGGAUCGAAGAUAGCAGAUCUUGUCUUCCUGUAUUUGGCAGCGAAGGAGAUCGAGGAUAGCAGAUCUUGUCUUCCUGUAAUUUGUAGUGGAGGGAUCGAAGAUAGCAGAUCAUGUCUUCCUGUAUUUGGCAGCGGAGUAGAUCAAAGAUGGUGAAUCUUAUCUUCCUAAUACAGUGGAGAAGCAGAUUUAAGCCAUUAGUCCUAUCACCCUAAGCAGUAGUGGAUUAGGUUAAAGAUUACAGAUUCUGUCACCCUAAGCAGUAGUGGAGCAGAUCGAAGAUGAUGAAUCUUAUCUUCCCAAUACAGUGGAGAAGCAGAUUUAAGCCAUUAGUUCUAUCACCCUAAGCAGUAGUGGAGUAGGUUGAAGAUUGCAGAUUCUAUCACCCUAAGCAGUAGUGGAGUAGGUUAAAGAUUGUAGAUUCUGUCCCCCUAAGCAGUAGUGGAGCAGAUCAACAAUAACGAAUCUUACUGCGAAUCUCAUCCCCCUGAAGUCGCAGCAGAGUGGAUUGAAGCCACAAGUCAUAUUUCUUUUUGAAGUUGCAGUGGAGUGGAUCGAAGCAACAAGACACGGUAGACUGGAAUGAAGCUACUUGAAGAAGAGAAGCACCAUAACAAGUCAAGAAUUGGCAAGGCCGGGCAAAAUGGGCCUUUCUUAGUCUUUGCUCUGUUAUCGUUACACGACAACGAGCAAAGAGGGGCAGCUGUACAGGCCCAUUUUGACCUAACCCAUUACAACCCAUAACCCAAACAGACCCAAAACCUACCCAGGCCCAACUAGCCUAACCCAAUCCCGGAGCCCAAAUGCAAAACCCAUUACCCAAAACACAAAUCAUAAAAAAAGAAACCCUAACCCUAGGUGCGCCGCACCUAGGGCCUUCUGACAUUGCCGCCGCAACUGCCACCAUCGACUCACCCCACUUGCGCCGCGCAUGUCCUGUCGUCCUCACUUGCUUCACCUGCAAACAGGCAACAACCAAAGAAAAGAAAGGAAAAAGAAAACAAAAAUAGAAAUUAAGAUCGGCUAUAAAAAAAAGCCAAAAUGUAACUCUCUUGUCUCCCCGGGCAACUUUUGUAACAAACAAAAACAGAUUCAAUCGAAAGAAAAUAAAAAGAGCAGAUUCAAGGUGUUGUUUUUUUCUUUUUGGUUCUGAAAGAUUUUUCUAGUUUAUUCUCUUUUCUUUUCGUUCGCAUAUAUAUAAAUAAAGGCAGUAAAUAAAAGAAAAAUGAGGUACCUUUCUCCCUGCGCCCUACUGGAGGACGAGAAGACAAACGGUUUUGUCCUGUUUUUGAGUCUUCGACCUCCUUUUCGUGGGUUUCGGCCCUGGAUCUGAGGUCUAGGAGUAAUCAGCCUCAAAAAGGGACCAAAAAGGUCCGAUUUUGGGUCUCCGACCGCCACACAUGGUGGUGCUACGGCGAAAACCCGCCGGAAACCAUGGCCGGAUCUAGGCCGGAAUUUGGGGAGAAGAAAGGGAGAGGGAGAAAUUUCAGAUUUUUUCAAAAAGAAAUGGCUGAAUGAUUUUUUUUCAGAAAAAUUGGGUUUAAAUACCGCUAAAGAAACGACGCCGUUUGAAGGAGGGAAAACCUGCGCACUCUUGCCCUAAUGGAUAAUUUGCGCCUUUGGUCCCUCUAAUCCUGCGGUACAUUCAAUGCUGCCUUUUGUUUCAUUUUAAUUUUGGCCACGAAUUUCACGUCUGUUUCAAUUUGGUCCGUGAACCCUGUGCAUGCGCUGCACUGUAACGACACCAUUUAAUCGACGUGGGGAAAUUGCCCUUUUGAUCCCUUCUCUUUUGUGCGCCUUACCUUUUAAUCCUUUCGUUCUUUUUAUUUCGAGCCCAAACUUUAAUUUCGUUUUCAAUUUAAUCCCAUUUUUGUUGUUUAGAUUAUUUUAUUUAAAAUUACUUGUUUUAAUAUUAUUAAUAUCAUUAUACAAUAUUAUUAUAAUAUUAUUAUUGAUAUUAUAAUCAAAUAUUUGGGCAUUAUGUACUUAUAUUCUAUAUGUUGUAUCCUAUAUACAUAUUAAUGUAUUUUGUUAUUAGAUACACAUUUUAAAACAUAUACAUAUAUAUAUUUUAUAAUCUAUGUAUAUAUGCAUGCAUUUUUAUUAUCUUAAUAUAUACGUACAUAUUUUAGGAUAUAUAUAUAGGCAUACAUUUAUCCCUUUAUUAUUAUUUAUGUACAUAUUUAUGUAUUUAUAUACUUCCCUAAUAUAUAUAUAUAUAUAUAUAUAUUAUAUUUUAUACCUUAUAUUAUAUAUGUCCUAUAUAUACGUUUUCAUUUUCAUAUAUACAUUUGGUGUUAAUUUAUUUAUUUAUUUACAUGCUCAUUAUUAUUAUUUACUUAAGUGCUUUAAUUUUUAUUUGUUUAUUUAUUGAUUUCUUUUUAUUAUAUAUUUGUCAUCUUAUUUAUUUAUCUUUUCUUAUUUUGCUUGUAUUAUUUUAUUUGCAUUAUCAUCAUUAUUAUUUUACAUUCAUUUUUUACUCGGAUUUAUCCAAAAAUGGAAAAUUUCAAAAUAAAAAUAACACUCGAUAUUUGAGAUCUUUGAGAGAAUCGAGUCCUAACGUAUUGGGUUCCGAUUUUCUUUGUUGAAUCAAAAUAAUCGAGAUUACUCUUUUAAAAAUGAAAAAAAGUGCGUUAUCGAGAAUUCAAUAUAUUGUGUCCUAACGCAUUGGAUGUGACAUGUUGUUUUCUCGAAACGAGGAUUUUUUGAAAUAAAUGUAAUAUUCAAUGUUUAAUAUUUUGAUAAAUUGUGCCCUAACGUAUUGGGUUGCGAUUUCUUCAUUUGAUUUAAACAAUUGAAUAUUCUUUUAAACUUUAUUACACGAAUCUUUUCAAACUCAAGUUUUAAACGAUAUCGGGAAUUAAAAAAGGAUCGUGUCUUAACUUACUGGUCGUGAUCCCUUUUUUAUCCAAAAAUAGUUAAAUAAUCUUUUGAACAAGCAUUUGUAUUCGCGUAUCGGGAAUUCGAGACAUUGUGUCCUAACUUACUGGAUAUGAUGCUUUCUUUCUCGAUUAACGUGGAAUGUGCCCCCUUUUCCCAAAAUUUUCAACUUUUUAAUACAAGGAUCGUAUUUUUAAAUUCUUCAAAGUUUUCACUCUUCGACACUAAGACAUUAAGUAAUCAACUAGGUACCAAUUUUGGGCGUAUCGAGGGUGCUAAUCCUUCCUCGUGCGUAACCGACUCCCGAACCUGUUUUUUUGAAUUUCGUGGACCAAACUUGUUGUUUUAAUAAAAUCAAACCGUUUAUUAAAAACAACCCAUUUUCGAGGUGAUCCAAUCACACAUCAUAAAAAAAAGGAUUGGUGGCGACUCUCGUUUUCGUUUUCAAAAUCCAAGUCGACCCCGUUUUCCAUCCAGAAAAUGGUGUCAACACCUUGCUUAAUUAGUAGUUUGAAUAUUGAUAAUACUUUGACUGAUUUAGGGGUUAGUAUUAAUGUGAUACCCUAUAAAAUGUUUAAACAGUUAAGUCUUGGGAAACCCAAACAAACUAGGAUGAGUAUUCAAUUAGCAGAUAGAAUCAUUAGAUAUCCUAGGGGUGUUAUUGAAGAUGUGCUUGUUAAAAUCGAUAAAUUUAUAUUUCCCGUUGACUUUGUUGUAUUAGACAUGGAUGAGGGUAGUGAGGUACCUUUAAUUUUAGGGCGACCAUUUUUAGCAACUGCUAGAACUAUAAUUAAUGUUAGUACAGGUGAGUUAGUCCUUCGUGUAGGUGAUAAGUCAAUUAUCUUCAAGCUCGUGAUUCAGUUAGAACAUCUAGUGAUCGAGAUGAUUUUAAAUCUUCUAUUAAUGUUAGUGACCAUGUGGCUCAACAUUCUUUGCAAGAAACCCCUCAAAAAAUGUAAUGGAGCCAUGUUCCAGUUAAUACGAUAGAAACAGAAUGAUUUAUGAUAAACAAAUGUUACAAAUCGAUGAACUAGAUGAAUGGCAGACACAUGUCAAGGAGAAACCGAAAAAGCUUGAUGAAGAGCCGAAACAAUGCCAUGAUGAGAACAUGGAUGGAACGAACCAAUUUAAGGCUGGGAAAAAUGUACAAUUAGACAAAAUGGAUCCACGAAAUACCCUUUCGGAGCUUAAUGCAAAUGGAUCAAACUCAUUUACGGUAAUGAACGUCUUCCCAUUCGGUACAGUCGAGGUUACUCUUUCUGAAUUUGACACAUUUAAGGUAAACAAUACUCGACUUAAACCUUAUCUUGGUAGAAUUAUUGAUAGCGAGAAAGAGAAGCUCGACCCCGCGAACCACCGUGACCACGCAUGUAUAAGGUAAGUCAAGUUUAAACUUUAAAUAAGCGCUUCUCGAGAGGUAACCAUAAUCUUCUUCACUAUUUGUGUUUAUUUUCUUAUUAGUUUACUCGAAUCAUGCAUUACCUACACCAUUCUAGCAAUUUCAUCCAAUAUUCAGGGCAGUUUCAGUUUUCUCCCGCUCUUAUGAUAUUCUGCUUAUACUGUGAUUAUAUCUAUUUGUACAUUGAGGACAAUAUACAUCUUAAGUGUGGGAAGGUUAUUUAUAUCAUUAUUAGAAAAUACCUGAAUUAUGUCUUUUAUUUAAGUAAUUUUCUCAUACUUCCAUUAGAAUGAAUUUUUGUUGAUUUGGAAUUUUUGUUGAUGUGUUUUAGAUUAAUUUGUAGAUAUUUGUGUAUUGGUUGAUUUAAACUUGAAGGUGUGGGAGAAUCAAGUAUGAUAAGUUAUUUUUCAAAAAUUUAAAAUUUUUAGGUUGUUUCCCUAAAUUAAAGUAUUAUCUUGACGUUUGAGAUUUGCGAAGAUUGACAUCAAAAACCAUGAUUUUUGUGAGAUUUUGAGCCUUUAGAGCAUACAUUUUUCUUGCUUAUUUUAUUAUUGGUUAUGAGUGAGUCAACCUGAUUUGUUAUUCUAGAACUUGCUUUAACUAUACAUGUCGAGACCACACAUUUGAUUUGAUAUACAGAGAUGAUAAAGGCACCUAGGUUUUAACCCAUUUAUCCCAUAAAAAUCCUACCUUCGUAAUUAACCCUUAGUGAACCCCGUUGAGCCUAACACACCGUCUCUUGAUUUACCCAUUUAUGUUAACCCAUAACUCAUUUUUUGUUCAUUGAAACUUUUUCCCAUUUUAUUGACUCCUUUUUUGUCAAUAUUUGAUUUGGUUAGUUGCUUAACUAUGCUCUUCUGUUUGAUUUGCUGAACUAUUUCUAAUUGUUCUAGAAAAAAAUUAAAAAAAAACAAAAAAAAGGAAAAAAAAUGAUUAUUAUUUAGUUCUAUGUUGAUUGAGCUUGAACAGUUAAAUUCAUAUUUUAAGAAGAAGCUUGUUUUUAUUCUUAAAUAAUUCUUGAUUCAUACUUUUUUUAAUUCAACGUUUGUUUAUUUUUUUUCUAGUUUGGUAAUGUAUCAAUUCAAUCUCGAUUAUAACCAAAUUUUCUGGCCUUUCUCCACACCCUUAACCUAAGCCCCAUUACAACCUCCUAAAGAACUUUUGAUUAGUGUAUCAUCUCAUUUUAUAGUGGUGGAGAUUUGAUUUUCAUGUAAGCCUAUGGUAAUAACCUUUCCUGUUUGACUAUAGAGUGCUUAUUUGUGAACUUUAAACUCUUUGAGUGAUUUGAGUGAAUCUUUAGUGAGGAUGUCGAUUCUUGUCGAUUUUGAAUUAAAGGUAAUUACUUAGAUAAGGGAAGACACCUAUGUUUCCGUGUUUAAAAAUGUUAGCUUGGAUUGUUUGAGACUUUAGUAAUCUUUUAGUUGAAUUGUCAAUGCAUGAUUAUUUGUGAAUUAUUGACGUUAUUGAUGAGAAUUACAAGUUGAGAAAUAUUAAUUUUAAUGUGAGUUAAGGAUUUUGCUUGAGGACAAGCAAAUGCUUAAGUGUGGGGAUAUUUGAUAAGCUAUAAAAGUAACAUAUUUUAAUCACAUUCUUAAUGCGUUUUUGGAUGAUUAAUUAUGUAAAUUAGUGAAUUUGAUACUCUUAAUCCUUUAAAUUCAUGUUUCUAUGCUUAGGAGAGAGCAUUUGAGAGCGAAAGGAGCGAAAAAUAAGUCAAAAUUAGACAAAUAGAGAUGUUUUCAGGAGCCACACAGCCUGGGCAUUUCCACACGGGCUGAACACAUGCCUAUGUGCCAGUCCGUGUCGAUUUCGCGUCCUACUUCCCAAAUACACGGAAAAACCCAAUUUUUAGGCUUUUUGAGCAUUCUAAAGUCUAUAAAUACCCAUGAGAAGGAGACAUAAGAGAGCAAUCAGAGAGGAUCGAAGAAAACACUCGAAGAACACCAUCAGAAUCAACUCGGAAGCGGAUCUCCAUCAAGAUUGAAGAUCUCCUUUUAAUUUCUUCCAAAGUUUUAUUGAGUUUCUUUAUGUCUUGUGGUUUUUCUGACUUUAAGAUGUUUUCAUUCAGGAUUAUGAACUAAUCCACUUGAUACUUAGGGGAGAUGAAACCUAUGAUGAAUCCUAUUAUUUAAUUUUUGUUUUAUGUGAAAAAUAUUUUAUUAUUAUUCUCAAUUAUGUAUGCUUAUUUCUUGUUUUAAUAUUUUUGGGAUAUUAAUUCAUGUUUAAUGUGCUUAUUUCAGUGGAGUAAAAGUCCUUGUUUAAGAGUAGAUUUAGCAUAAUUGAGUGGAGUUGAAUACAAUCCUAGAAAUAAGAUGACAUAAAUCUACCGGAUUAGAGUCAAAUAUAAUAGGGGAAUUCAUAAAUCGAGUUAAUGCGACAAUAGGGGUUUUAAUUAGAAAGAUGUUUCAAUUAAUCAACCAAGAGCCAGUUGUUCUUACUCUCGAAAAAGAUAUUAACAUAAUUUAUGGAUUUCUACGGAUCAUGACACAAGUGAAUAAAUCGUUUAAUUUAGAUUCAUAAUAAUAGGUGAAGUCUAGGAGGAUUCUUUUCUGGGUAUUGUCUAUCUCAUUGGUUAAUAUUCGAUUAUUUCUUUGAUUUAUUCUCUGUCGCGUUCUUAGUUAAAUUAGUUUAGUAAUUUGAGAUUAAAACACAAUCACUCCAAUUUGUCGGCUAAAUAAUAAGAAGACGGUAAUUCUAGUACUUUUAGUCCUCGUGGAUACGAUAUUCUCUACUCACCAUAGCUAUACUAUUGUUCGAUAGGUGUGCUUGUCUUUGUCGUAUUUUUAGUUAGUUUAGUGACCAUCACCAGAUUUUGAAAAACAUGGAAAUGUUGUGUCAAUUAAACAAGUCCUUGAGGGAAGAAGUUAUCAUUCUCAAAUGAGAAAAAAAAAGCUUGAAAUUGUGGUAAAAAAAGAUGAUGUUAUCGCUAAUAUUAAGAAGGCUAACACAGUGCUUGAUGAAACUAUCAAAGUAAAUGAUGAGUUCAUUACCAAAAUAGAUGCUAACACAGUGCUUGAUGAAACUAUCAAAGUAAAUGAUGAGUUCAUUACCAAAAUAGAUGUAACUUUGAAAGAAAAUGAGCAAGAAACCUAUAACUCCUACAAUUUCUAUUAAAAUGUGUUCUUCUUCUCUCGAGACAGAUAAAAGGAAAAAAAACAAAAGCUUAUUUGUUAUCAUUAUGGAAAGAGUAGACAUAUUAGCUUUUAUUGUCACAAGUUAAUGAAUGAUCAAAGGAAAUGCAAACCACGUUGCAACAAUUAAUAGAACAAUACCUAGAUAGCAACGCAAAGGUAACAAAGAAAGAAGAAACUUCGUAUGCCAUUAUUGUGGGAAAGAAGGGCACAUCAAACCCCAUUAUUUUAAGAUGAUGCAAGAUUAGCAAGAGUUUAGCUUGAUUGCUAAAACAAUGAAUGGAACAAGAAGACCACAACAUAGACAAACUUGGGUGAGGAAAAAUUGAGCACAUUUAAGUAAGAAAGAUCAAUAUUUGAUUGAUGCUCAUGUGAAGCAUGAAGUUGCAACAGAUGAAGAUCUUAUUAAAGAUAUAUCAAGUAUUAAACAAACUUCUAGAUUUUGUGGAAAAGUGUUUGUUGUUCUACAAGUUACAACCCAUCUUGUUGAUAAGGUAGCAUUCAAUCUCAUCCCCUCUAAACAACAUGAUGAAAAUCGAUAGUAGAUGGAUAAAGUAAGGGGAAGUAAUGAUGCUGAUUUGAUAAUUUUGUCUACUUUGAUUUCAUUUUUGGUUAAUUUCUUAUGAAUGCUACAUUUCACUUUGUCAAAGAGAGAGAUGAUUGUUGAUUUUUUAAAACUAUAAUGUUUAUAUGUUAUUGUUUAUUUAUGACCUUUGUGCACGUUUAAUUGGUUAUGUGAUGAACAAUCGUAUUGAUAGGGGGAGUGUUUGAUCAAGCAUGGUUUUAACUCUUAAAGGGAGACAUAUUCUAAUUUCCUAGCUAUGUGCUUGUUUGGAUUGUUGGCUAACUAUUUGUUGCAAAGUUUUUUCAAAAAUGCCAAUGGAGAGAUUGUUGGGAAAGUUGUUGUUGUUUCUUCCAUGUCCUAUUAUAACAAAAUUGUUUCUCUACUUAGGCCAUUGACUUGGGCCUUGGAUAGGUUUUUUUUAGCCUGAGUUCAAUCCACUUGAAUUUAACAUGUUUGACAAAACAUGAAACAUGGUUUGAUUAGAAUUUUAAAAACUCCCAACCAAAUUGCUUGAGGUGAUUGGAUAAGUAUGAAAGUCUUAUUGUCUAUUGAGAGAGUUUUGGAGCUAUUAGAAGACGAAUUUAUGAAGAUUUUUAUUUGAUAAAUAUUCAGGAUAAUUAAUGGGAUAAUUUUAACUUUUAAAUAGGAGUUUAAAGCUUAUCAAAACUUUAUUGGAUGAACUCUUGUAUCAACCUAUAAAUAGGCUACUCGUGGUAUCACUUAAAGAGCAGCUUUUGAAGUGUCUUUGUCAACAAUUUUGUUGUACUUUCUUGUGGUUAUUUUGUGACACUCUUUUAGGUAUUCUUUGAAGAGUUUAUUGAUUGUAUUAUCAAGUAUUUGGGUGAGUAAUUUGUGACAAUUGGGAUCAAUAUUAAGACUAAAAUUAUGUCUUUGUGAAAGGUAUAUUGGACUUAAGCCAAUAGGUAAUCCAGACGAUGGUUGAAUAAAAUAUGGUUGAAUAAAAUCAUUCACUAGAUGAGGCUCUAUAGACGUAAAAUCGUUGUGUCUGAAUUAACAAAGAUCAGUUGUGUCGAUUCUUUUUUACUCUUAUUUUUUUACAUUACCUAUUUUCGUUCUAAUUGUCAUUAGAACGAACAUUAAGCAAAGUUAAUUUAUCAUAUUUGUAGACUAAUUGUUUUUAAAAAUUUUUAACAAUUCUCAAUCAAUAUGCUUAUGUAUUCAAGUUGAUGUAAAAAUUUGCUAAAAACAUAUGCUCAUUGUCUUACACAGGAACCCAAAUUCUUGUAAAAUAAGUUGGAAUCUUUCUAACUCGGAUGUGGGUAUAUAUCUAACACGAUCAUGCUUAAUUUUCCCUAAGUUUUGUAAGUUUGGAAUAUCAUACCAUCGUACUCAUUCAAAUACUUAUGAGAUGUAAAUAUUUUAAGAAAAUGGAAGGCUGAAAAUGUUGGCACUGACCCAAUUUGGUUUUGCAUGUCUAUAUAUAUUAUCACCAAGAACUAGUCUGCAAUAACUUUGGACAUAAGGAUUACCAACAGUUAGGGUCUAAUAAGGUGGCCUAAGCUUAGUAGAAAAAGGGGGCUUUUCCAAUACAUUCCAUAGACUUGCAAAGCAUUUGGGCUCAACUACCUAUCCUAGUGGCUAGAAUUCAAGUUGCUUCUUUAAUUGGUGGUGUCGAAACCAUUUUUAUUUUGAAAAACGGGGUCGACUUGGAUUUUGAAAAAAAAAUGAAAAUGGGAGUUGCCACCGAUCCUUUUUAUUUUGGUGUGAUCGGGUCACCUCAAAAAGUAGUUAUUUUUAAUAAGCGAUUUGACUUUAUUAAAACAACGAGUUUGGUCCACGAAAAUCAGAAAAAAUGGGUUCGAAAGUCGGUUACGUACGAGGAAGGAUUAGCACUCUCGUAACGCCCAAUAAUUGGUACCUAGUUAAUUAAUUAAUGUAUUAAUGUCGAAAAUUGAAAAUUUUGAAGAGAUUUAAAAUAUGAUCUUUUGUUUUUUUUUAAAAACUUAUAUAAAACAAGUUACUCGAUAAGACCCUCUCAUUUCGAAAAGAGAAAAUGUCACACCCAAUGAGUUAGGGCAUGAUAUUUCACUUCCUCAAAAACAAGCUUGUCCAAAAAAACUCGUGCAAUAAAAUUUAAAAGGAUGUUCAAUUGUUUAAGUCAGAUGAAUAAAUCGCAGCCCAAUACGUUAAAGCACAAUUUCUCAAAAUUCUAAACAUUGAAUGUUACCUUUAUUAUUUUUAGAAAAAAUCCUCAUCUCGAGAAAAUAACGUGUCAUAUCCAAUGCGUUAGGACACAACGUAUUGAAUUCUCGAUAAUGAGCUUUUUAUUUAUGUUUUGAUUAAAAAGUAUUCUCCAUUAUUCUGAUUCAACGAAAGAGUUGGAACCCAAUACGUUAGGGCUCAAUCCUCUCGAAGAUUUCAAAUACCGAGUAUUGCAUUUAUUUUUUCAAAAUUUUCUGUUUAUACGAAUUUGGGUAAAAAUUAUAUAAUGGAGUAACAAUUGUGAUAAUAUAAAUAUAAAUAGCAUGAUCAAGAACAAUAAUAAUAAUAAUAAUGAAAAGAUAAAUAAAAAAACAAAUCAAUCAUGUAUACACAAUAUCAAGUAAAUAAACAAAUAAAACCGAAGCAUUUAAAGAAUAUAAUAAUGAUAAUAAUGGUCAUGUGAAUAAAUAAAUAAAUAAAUAAACAUCAAGUAAAGCAAUAAUAAUAACAAAGAAAUAGAUAAAAUUAUAAAAUAUAAAAAUAUAUAUAUGUACAUAUAAGAAAAAUAUAUAUGUAUGUGAAUUAUAAAAAAUAAAAAAAUAUAAAUAUACAUAUUUUAAUAUGUAAUAUAUAUAUAUAUAUAUAUAUAAGUAUGUAAAUAAAUUUAUGAAACAUAAAAUAUAUAUAAAAGUAUGUGUAUAUAUAUAUUUAUAAAAAUUAAAAAAUGUGUACAUAUAUGUAUAUAUUAUAAAACGUAUGUAUGUAUACAUGCAUAUAUAUAACAAAAUUUGAAAUUUAAAGGCAUAAAAAGUAAAUAAUAAUGAUACAAGAUUAAUGAUGCCACAUAAUAGUAUUAAUAAUAUUAAAAUAAUUAAUUUAAUAAUAAAAAAACUAAAAUAACAAAUAGAGGAUUAAAUAGCAUCAAUAAUCAAAGACCAAUGAACUUAAAACAAAGAGUAUAAAAAAAAGGCAAAAUAAAAUGUAAACAAAUUUGAAAAUAAUGAAUUUGAAAAUGAAUAAUAAGAGAAAAAGAGAUUUGAAAUCAACAAUAUACAGAUCAAUAAAUAAAUUAUACACAAAUCAACAAAAUAAGAACAAGCCACAGAAAAUAAGAACGCAAGAGAGAGAGAAAUUUGAGUGAAUACUCUUAAGAAUUAUUAUUACACGCAACUCCAGCCCCUUACAAUGAAGGGAUAUGCCUCUGUUUAUAGUUGAGCCUCCCCAAAUCCAAUGUUACAGAUCAAUUACAUCAACGGCUAAGAUUAAAGGGUAUCUACAAAUUAAAUCUCUAAGAUUAUAAAAUCAUAUCUUCUAAAAUUGCAUAUCAUAUCUAAGAUUGCAUAUCCUUGAAGAUUAUGUUUCCAUAAACUUGUAAAUGGACCUUCAACCUUUUCAAGUAAUGGGCCAUUCCGAUCGGGCCAAAUGAUAUUAUUGGACUUAGACUUUGUUUUAUUAUUUUGGAUUUAUUAUUUUUUUGUGAGCCCGGACUAAAAUUGGGUAUUACAGGUAGUGUGGUUCAAUUCAAUUAAGGUUGAAUUUGAUAUUUUUUAGACAAGGAAAACAAUAAUAUGAAAAGGGGAUAAUACAAAUAGAGCGUGUUAAAGUCUAUGUAAAACGAAGUAUUAAGAAUACGUAAUACCCUAAGUAGGGUUGUGACACAAGAAACUAAUAUAAACAUGAGUUUAAGAAUCUAGAAAGAUUUAAAUAUCAUUAUAAAAGAAGGGAAAAAAAAAUUAAAGAAGUAGGUUUGGUAAGUAGCUCAGCCUAAACUUGCUGGCUAACAGAGUUGUUAGAGAAUCGAGAAAUGAAAAAUAUUUGCAUGGAGUUUUCAGAGAAAACAGUACAUUAAUUCCUAAGAUGACUGGAUUUUAUGAUUUGACAAAAGGCUUGUUUUAUAAGGUUCCAAGUUUGGACACUGUGGCAUAAGCAGCCUUAUGCAGAAAAAUAAUCUUUCUACACCAAAGAUACCAACUGUCCUAUGGUUGCAGCAGCCAGCAGAUAUUAUAUAUCCAAAUUAUUUAGUAUGGGUCCUUCCAUCUGGUCAAGUUCAAAGUAGUAGUUAACCUGAACCACUUCUUUGUAUAAAUAUUUUAGUUGAAUUACCUUCCACAUAAUCAAAGCAUUCAUGACUCAUGAGAAUCCUUCAAUAAAUCAAGUUUCUUCAUAUUUAACUAACGAAAACAAAUUUUGCGUCAAGAAAGGAAAAAAAUUUUCUAUUACAAAUGGUUGCAGAUACUAAGAUUUGAAAUCCAAACGUAUGAAAUGCCACCUCAACAAGUUUCUUUUCUCGUACAUGUCCCUAGCUUUAGCCAUGAAAUUUUGGAACUCUUCUUAGAACAGGAUUUGAAUGAACAUGCAGAAAAGUGGUGCAUUAAAUGGGGAUUAGUUUCAUAUUUAGAAACUUAAUAUCAGUACCAAACUUGGUAAAACAAUCGCUUUGUGACCAUUUCAAACAGAGGCACUUUGGGGAAUGGGCUUCGAUGUAGCCAAAAGUCUUUCGUUUCUUGCCAGUUGCCACGUAAAAAAGACUAGCUAGCCAAAACUUGGGAUCAUUGGCAUAAUUUUCUCAAAGCUUUUAAUUAAAGUGUGAACGUCAAUCUUGGACGUUUUCAAUCCCUUUGUCAGGAUAUUUUAUCCGUUGUUUAAUGUCAUUUUCGACUACCAAUCUUUUAACAACUCGUAUUUUUUUAUUUGAUAACUUUGUGCAAAAAAUCUAUGUAUUUUUUUUGAUCAACGUUGAUGGGUUAUGAAUGAAGCCACCAAGUAAUUUACGAGAAAUUUUGCUUCAAUUGGUAAAACUUUAUCACUAGCUAAUAUAUAGGUAACUAGAGGUGUCCAUGAGUAGGACCGGGCCGGGUUUGGGCUAGGCCCACAAAAAAUUCAGCCCACUUCCUAGGCCCGGGCUCAGCCCGGCCUGGCCCGAAAUAUGGGCCUGAUAUUUUACCCAGGCCCGGCUCGGGGAAAAAUAUGGAACUUGAGCCCGGCCCGGCCCGUUUUUUAAUUAAAAUUAAAAUUAUAUUUUUAUUAAAAUUAAAACUAAUUGUUAUUAAAAUUGUAUCAAAUUAUAUUUUUUUAUACUAGUCAACAUUUUGUAAAAUCUAACAUUUUGUUAGUAAAAUUAUUAAUUGUUAAUUGAAUUAAUUGUUACUAAAACUAGUAUAUUUUAAAAAUAAAAUAUAUAUAUAUAUUUAACAUAUUUUCGGGCUGGGCCGGGCUCGGGUCAAAAAAAUUUUACUCGAGGCCCGACCCGUUUUCUAAACGGACCUCAUUUUUUACCCAAGCCCAUAUUUCAGGCUUAUAUUUUUACUCAAACCCUCCAAUAUUUCGGGCGGACCGCCGGGCCGGGACGGGCCGCCCGGCCCAUGGACACCUCUAUAGGUAACUGUCAAAGAAAACGCUGACUUUGGAGCUCAAUGAGAGCUCCUACAGACUCUUAAACCUCUAUAAAUUGGAAUGAUUUUGGUCUUAUUUUAUUACUAAAAAUCAUCAGCUUUACAUACAAGUUACAUAGGUUUUUUGGGGGUUAAAACUAGAGGUGUCCAUGGGCUGGGCGGCCCGGCCCGGCUUGACGGCCUGCCCGAAAUAUGGGAGGGUUUGAGUAAAAAUAUAGGCCCGAAAUAUGGGAUUGGACAAAAAAUGAGGCCAGUUUAGAAAACGGGCCGGGCUCGAGCCAAAAAAAUUUUGCCCGAGGCCCGGCCCGGCCUGGCCCGAAAAUAUAUUAAAUAUAUAUAUAUUUUUUAUUUUUAAAAUAUACUAGUUUUGGUUUUAUUUUAAGUUACAAAAUGUUAGAUUUUGUUACAACAAUUAAUACAAUUAACAAUUAAUAAUUUGAUAUAAUUUGAUAAUUUUACUAACAAUUAAUACAAUUAACAAUUAAUAAUUUUACUAACAAAAUGUUAGUAACAAUUAAUAAUUAAUAAUUUGAUACAAUUUGAUAAUUUUAGUAACAAUUAAUACAAUUAACAAUUAAUAAUUUUACUAACAAAAUGUUAGAUUUUACAAAAUGUUGACUAGUAUAAAAAAAUAUAAUUUGAUACAAUUUUAAUAACAAUUAGUUUUAAUUUUAAUAAAAAUAUAAUUUUAAUUUUAAUUAAAAAAUAGGCCGGGCCGGGCCGGGCUUGGGUUCCAUAUUUUUCCUCGGGCCGGGCCUGGGCAAAAUAUCAGGCCCAUAUUUCGGGCCGAGCCCGGGCCUAGGUAGUGGGCUAAAAUUUUUUGUGGGCCCGGCCCAAACCCGGCCCGUCCCGGCCCAUGGACACCUCUAGUUAAAACAAGUUACAUAGGUAUUUACUCUUGCUUAAUAAUAAAUUAGAAUUAUUUUCUAGAAUUAGAAAAAAAAAGGAAAAUAUAAUUGAGGAAUUUUUUGUAAAAAACAAGGUUAUUUGUCUUCCUUUUCAUCUUUGAUCCCUGUGACUUAUCCCAUCAUUAUUAGUGUAAUAAUAUGGAAAAACAACUUAUUUAUUAUACAUGUAUUACAAUAUUUAGAUAUAAAAUAAACAAUAAAUAACAUUUGGUAUACUGUUAUUGAAAUUUUUAGACUCCACGAGUUGACAAAUAUUUUAUAAGGUAUAAUAAAAUAUUUAAAAAAUAUAUAAAAAAGACACAUGAUUAUCUUGUAAAGAUGUUUGUGGAAUGAAAAAAAUCCACGCGAAUGUACCAAAUACUAAUUAACAAAGAAAAGUUAGUAUAAAUUUAAACUUGAAAUUAGAAAGAUAAUAAUAAUUAUAAUAAAAUAAAAUAAAACUUCUUCAAAAUAAGAAAAAAUUUUACUUCUCUUUGUUAAAAAUAAAUUAUCAAGUAAUUAAAUAUUACCAAUUGAAUUAAUUUAUUGAUAACCUAUAUACUAAAACAUAUCUAAAAUUUAACACUCCUACCGAUGUUAGCAUUAAGUCUAUUAUAAGAUUCGAUUUUAUGAUUAUUACCACCAUAACCACGACGUAACUUAGAACGUAGUUGCAAAUUAUCAUGGUGAAUGCUAAUCAAAUCUGGUAGAAGACAUCUUCCCUGUAUCCGAAUGCUGUUUUAUGAUCAAAAAGGGGAAAAAAAAAAAAGAAGCUAAGACUAUCAUAAACUUAUUGCAUUUCUGCUUCAUGAAUAAUGUUACUUGUAUGUUAAUUUGAUUGAGUUCUACGUAAAAUUUGAUGGAGCCUUUGCAGCAUAAAUAGUAAAGAAAUAAAUGAACAUUGAUUAUCUUCAUUGAAAUAAACCGAAAAAAAAGGGCCACCCACAGAAACAAAAAAGUCUUGUAUUCUUAAUUAUUAGAUCUUAAUUAUCAAUGAAUUGGCACUGAUAAGAUUGAAAGUUGAAUGAAAUAUUAAGAUAACAUUCAACUUGGAGAUGGUAGAUAAUUUAGAGGCAUGCCAUUAUCUCACAGCUUCUGGAGGAUUGCGUUGUUCCCAUUUAUUGAGUAAAAAAAUUUUAGAGGCAUACUAUUGGAUAAGAGGAAAGAACCCACAUAGUCAGAGACUGGUCACUUAUGCAUACAGAUCCAUGGAAUUAGUAAAAUGAAACAAGAUUAAAUGAUUAAAAUUUUGAAUAUAUAUAUAUAUAUUCUUCUUGAAAAGUCUUCGUGCACCUCCUCAGGUCUUAUAUAAGAUUACGUGGCCGGUUGCUUGUCAGAGUCUUUACCUGCUACUUAGCGAAAACAAUGACCAGAUCUUUGGUUUCCACCUAUAAAUAGCCAUGUCUGCCAUGCAAAGUUUCUCAAUCUUCUCCAAAGCAAUAGCAAACAACCGGCUAAGUCAAUAUAUCAUAAUGAAAGGAACUCACUUCACUGUUAUUGCUUUUACCCUCUUGGCUUUCGCUUGCUCAUUGGCCUCGGCCUUCGAUCCCAGUCCUCUCCAGGACUUUUGUGUGGCUAUCAAUGACAUCAAGAAUGGAGGUAGGCAUUCAAGACUUUAUGUUCAUACUGCCUAAGAUGAAGAACAUUCAGUUUAGCUUCCAUGCUUUAAUAUAACUUUCAACAUUUCUUCAUUGCAGUGUUUGUGAAUGGCAAAUUUUGCGAAGACCCAAAGCUUGCUGUGGCAGAAGAUUUCUUCUUCUCAGGCCUAAACAAGCCAGGGAACACAUCAAAUCUAGUUGGAUCAAAUGUCACCACCGUCAGUGUUGAUCAAAUACCAGGACUUAACACUCUCGGUAUAUCUCUUGUUCGGAUCGACUAUGCCCCUUACGGUCUUAACCCUCCUCACACUCACCCUCGUGGAACCGAAAUACUAGUCGUUAUUAAAGGCACACUUUAUGUGGGCUUCGUUACAUCAAAUCCAGACAACCGUCUCUUCACUAAAAUCCUAAACCCUGGAGAUGUUUUUGUCUUCCCUAUCGGUUUGAUUCAUUUUCAGUUCAACAUAGGGAAAACUGAGGCUGUUGCAUUUGCAGGUCUGAGCAGCCAAAAUGCUGGGGUUAUCACCAUUGCUAAUGCAGUGUUUGGCUCAAACCCACUGAUCAACCCAGAUGUUCUGACCAAGGCCUUCCAGUUGGACAAGACUGUGGUCCAAUAUCUCCAGUCCCGGUUCUGGUCGGAUUAACCACUCCUUUAAGAACCGAAUCAAAACCCCAGAAAUUUGACUGCUUGUUUGAAAUAAUGAUUCCAUGCAAUUUCUUAUUGAAGUCAUAGUAUUCUACUAAGUAUCAUGCAAUAAACAACCUGGUCUAUUAUGUACCUAUCCAGUCUCCUGAUUUGGGAUAUAAAAUCAGAAUAUGUAAUGCUCUAGGAUUUAAAUACGAUCAGCCACUAAUACAUAUACAUGUAGCAUUGUAUUUGGAUCAUAGUAGCCUUAACAAGUAAUCUCCCUUGCUUAUGUUCCGUACUACUUGAACACCUAUGUACAUAUGUUAAGGUAAACUUGAUAAGAAUGUUGCGAAAUCUCUUCAAACUCGAUUAUGAUGAAACAACAAAUCGAUUUUAAGAAAUGGCUUGAAAUUUACUCCUUGGGAAUUUUUUUUAAUGUAAUCCAAAUUCAUCUGUAUUUAAAAUAAUAUAUCUCAAACUCAAUUCAAGUAUAUAAAAUUAAAGAAAUAAUUAUACAAGUGAAUGCAUUAGAUAUGCAAGAGUUUUAACCAGAUGGGCGCUGCCUUUAACCUUGUGGCCUUGUGGAAUAGUAGGAGUUUUAAGUAGGAGAAGAUAGAUGUAAGAGAGUUUUAUUUUUAUUAAACUCAUCUGGAUAACAUCAACAAAUGAUUAGGUUUACGAUAAGAUAUUUUGUAAAAGAAAAUAUUUUUAUCUAUUUCUAAUUGACCUUGUAUCUAUUUCUAAGAAAGGAUAGUAGUACAUACCUCAUUUUGAUAAAAUGUUUACAUUUUUUUAAAUAAUUAAUAGUCAAAACUAUUAACCCCAUCAACCUUACUUUGCCUACACAGUUUCUUUCUUUCUCGAAUUCCUCCGCUUUUCCUUUUUCCUUUACUCAAUAUUAACCUAAAAGCUUUGAUUUUUAACUCUGAUUCCUUCCCCCACACCCCCACUUUCUCUUUGGCUUCUUGUUUGGUCCCACGAUCAUGGUAAAUAUAAUUAUGCGUGUUGUGUCAUAGCUUAUAUAACUGACUCGAAUUAUGACUACAAUGAUCAUCUUGUAGAGUUAUGUAGAGUUACUUUGCAUGCCUAAAAUAGUUCUUUACAUGUAAUUAUUAAGUAAAUUACGUUGUUUAUGUAGUUAAAUAAUUUUGUACUUCGUUUACUAGUUAAAAAAUUGGUCCAUAUAAACGCAACAUUAAGUAUAAAUAAUAAGAUUCGUUAAUUCGACUCGAAAUUUUUCGUCUCGAUUCGAAAAAAAUUUAAAUUGAGUUCGAUUGCUAAAAUAGGAUUCGUCAACUCGACUAACUCGAAAUUUCUUUAUUCAAUUCGAUUCAACUCGAUCGAAUGCUCACCCCUACCCAACACAAAUCUUGCUUUCCUGUCAUACCUUUAACCAAAUCCAACUUAAAUUUUCAUACAAGAAAGCGAAGGUGCUAUAUAUUGAUUUAACUGCACACUAUAACACCUAUGCUGACACUUUACAAACAACAAAACAACAAUUUGUCAUCUUCCAUUAAACCUUCUAUUUUUUCACUUUCUUCAUUUCAUUUGCUUUGCUUUGCUUUCAUCUCUGUCUUCCAUAAAUCAUUUUCUGUUUGUCAAAGGUUAAAAAGGAUUGAUUUUUUUUUUUUGAAACUGUUCUCAGUACGUAUAAUAAUGUGAUUAUAUACAUGUUAAUAUAGUACAAAAGAGCUAGCCAUAUAAUGGCCUUCAUAGCAGGAGUUUUCGUUGCCUGAACUCGUAUUCUUGUCUAUUUACUUGUUUGCUUACAUUUUGUAUGAUUGUGGCAUCCACAAAAAGACCAAUGGAAAAAUACCAGGACUUAAUAAAAAGCCAAAGUAGAUGCUUGGAUGGGAACCAAUGGGUGUCUCAGAAGGGCAUAAUUGUUGAUGAAUAAGUCAAUGAAAAAUAUUUGAAUUUAUACUGCUGUUCUUAUCUAUUUAUUUAUUUCUUUUUCUCAUUUCUUCUAUUCUUUAUAUUAUUGUACUGACCUUCACUUAGAACAUGUUUUACUAUGAUCUUCAAUAAAGCAUUUAUGGAGUAUGCAUAUUUAUACCGCUAAAAGAUUUGGCUGGAACAUGAAAAAGGAUAGUUUAGGGUAAACUAUGAUCAUUGGGAUUGUUGGCAUGAACCUUCUUUUAGUUUGGCUUUGAAAAGAUAUGAAAGUUGUAUGGCAAGUGAGGCACCAAGCUGGGCUGAUCAAUGGGGUUUUGAAGGGAUUGGUUCCAUUAAAGAUGAGGAUGCUGCUAUUGCCACGAAAAAGAUGGCAGCAACAAAUCCCAAGGACAAUGUGGGUUUCCUAGAGCCAAGACAACGGCUUUCAUGGGAGCCAAGAAACUCAAGCUGGGGGCAUCCAAAGCCAUAAAAUGGGUCAAGAAUAAAUCCCAGAAAAAAAAAACUCCAAAUGAAUAUACAAAUAGAGGUGUUCAUGGGCCGGGCCGGGCCCAAGAAAAAUUCAACCCGUUUCAUAGGCCUGAGCCUGGCCCGAAAUAUGGUCCUGAAAUUUUGUCCAAGGCUCGGCCCAAGAAAAAUACUAAGCCCGGCCCGAUGGCCCGCCCCAAAAAUGGGAGGAUUCGGGUAAAAAUAUAAGCCCGAAAUAUAGGCUUGGGCAAAAAAUGAGGCCCGUUUUUGGGCAAAAAAAUUUUGGCCCGGGCCCAGCCCGACCCUAAUAUAUAUUAAAUAUAUAAAUAUAUUUUAUAGUUUUCAAAAUAUGCUACUUUUAAGUUUUAAGUUAAAUGUUUUAAAUUUUUGUUUCACUUCCGUUUCCACCAAUCUUCCAAAAUCCCUAACCUAUCGUGCCCUCCUCCCUUUUUUUCCCAAUUCCAAAAUACCGAUCCACCUCCAAUCCUCCACCCAAUUUAAGGUAAAUGGAGCUCUAUUUUUAGAAUAAUUUUGUCAAAAUAAACCAUUCACAAUCGUUGUAUUUUGCUUAAUUUUUGCGUCUGAAUCUUUUAAGAAAUCAUUAACAAUGGAUCCCUUGAUGAUUCCCUUCCAUUUUUUGUCUGUUUGUUUCUGGUUAAUCUGGGUAACUUCAUUUUCUGUUUGGCUGUUUGUUUCUAGUUAAUCCAGGUAACUUCAUUUUCUUCUUCUUCUUCUUCUUCUUCCAUUUUCUGUUUGUUUCUGUCUGUAUUUUGCUUAAUGUUUACUAAUUAGUAAUUACAUUGAUCUCUUUUACUCGAAUUUGGUGCGAGUACUAGAUGCGGAUAUUUUGCCAAAUUCUUUUUUUAAGUUUCUGUUUCUGUCUGUAUUAAUGCGAGUACCAUAUUUCUGGUUAGUGCGAGUACCAUAUUUCUGCUUAAUGUUUGUUUCUGACUUUCUGUGUGUUUCUUUUUUUAACAUAGACUCCAAUAAUUAAUGGAUUUGGCAACAUGUGGUAGUGUUUUUCUUAUGAUGUUGAUUUGGUAUUUCAUUUCCUAUACAUAUAAAAUCAUUCAUUAAUUAAAGAAAAUAAUUGAUAGAAAUAUGUAGGAAAUUCUUAUCUAAUAUUGUUGAAAAAGCAACUUAGUUAAUUUCAGAAUAAAUUGAAUAGUUUAAGUCUUAUACUAUUAAAAAAUAAGCCGACAAGAGCGAUUGGUGAUAAUGUUAACUAUUUCCAUUAUAUUAAUGCUAACUAUAGCACUAUUUAGUUGUUAGAGACUUGUUUGAAAAGUCGUUCCUUUCACACUUUGCAUUAAUUAAUAUUGUUGAAACCAUUUUUUGAAAAAUAAAAAUUUGGGUUGUCGACUUUAAAAAACAAAAAUUGGAGUCGCCACCGAUCCUUUAUUGAGGUGUGAUCGGCUCACCUUAAAAACGAUUCUGGUCUACGAAAUUUGAGAAAACGAGUUCGGGAGUCAGUUACGUACGAGGAAGGGUUAGCACCCUCGUAACGCCCAAAAAUCGGUACCAAAUUGAUUAUUUAAUGUCUUGGUGUCGAAAAUUAAAAAGAUUUUGUUAAACUCAAAUUUUGAAAUCUGAAAAGGAUAAUCAAUUAUUCAAGUCAUGCGAAGAAAUUGAGUCUCAAUACGUUAGGGUACAAUUUCUCAAUAUCCCCGAAUUUUGAAUAUCACUUUUUAAUUAAUUUUUUAAAGAAAAUCUUCAUUUCGAGAAAGUAAUAUGUCAUGCCCAAUGCGUUAGGACAUAACAUAUUGAAUUCCUGAAAAUGAUUUUUGUUUAUAUAUUUUAAAUAACGAAUAUUCUCGGUUAUUUGGAAUUAACAAAGAAAAUCGGAACCCAAUACGUUAGGACUCAAUUUUCCUCGAAAAUCCCUAACUUUGAAUAUCGUUUUUAUUUUGAAAAUCUUUGAAUCAUAAAAAUAAUUUUAAUGUUUUGACAAAAUCAAAAUGUAUUUAAAAAAUGUAUUAAAAAUGUCAAUGCGAUAUGGAACAAAUAUUUUAAUUUAAAUUAUAUAUAUAUAUUUAUAAGUAUAAUAUAUAAACAAUUUUAGCAAAUACGUAUAGGAAUAUGAGGGGAAAGGAAAGAAAAAAAUGCGCAAGUCAUAAAAAUAAUAAUAAAAUAAAAUACACAUAAAAUAUAUUAAUACAUGUUUUUUUAAAAAUGUAUAAAUAUAAUGUAUUAGUAAAUAUAAAAACAUGGAAAAUGUUUAUAAAAGCGUUGAAAAGAAUGCAAAAAUAUAUGUACAUAUUACAAAAUGUAUAUACAUAUGAAUUAUAAAACAUGAAAACAUAAAUAUUAUUAUAUAAAAAAAAUGAGUGUAUAUAAAAUAUGUACGAACUAUAAAAAUAAAAUAUAUGAUAAUAAAAUAUAUACACGUACUAUCUAUAUACUUAAAACAUUUAUAAUAUAUAUGUAUAUUAAUAUAUAUAUAUAGGCGCACACAUAUAAAUACAAUAAUAAUAUAAUAAUAAUAAUUAUAAUAAUAAACAAUAUACACAAUAUAAUAAAAAUAAACAAAUUAAGGACUAAAUUAAAAUUCCAAACAGAAGUUGAGAGCUAAAUUUGAAAAUAAAAAACAAGAAAGGGAGUAAAUUAAAACAGGUGCAAUAGAGAAAGGACCGGAAGAGCAAUUUUCCAACUCGCCCUAAAGCGCUACACACUAUUGGACUAAUUGAAACAAUCAUAAUAUAUGUUGCAAAAUUUAAAAGUGAUAAAUAAAGAAUUUAGAAAAUACCAUAAAAUCAUAAGGACUAAAUGCGCAAAUGGCCCAUUUUGAACCCUAUAAAAUCAUUUCCCUUCUGUCACUUGAAAUGCGCCGCAGCAGCACUUCCUCUUUGCUGUUUCAGACCCUCCCCUCUGCCGUUCAAGUCCUUUCCCAUUUCCGCUAGAAUCCGACGAAUCGGGGACACCUUCCGACGACUCACAACGGUAAGUCCUCCCUUCCUUCCCCUCCUCGUUUUUUGUUUUGUUUUGAGAAACAAAAGGAAAAUAAAAUAAAAUAAAAAUAGUAAAAAAAAAGAACAGAGGAAAAAAAGAACCAAAAUCCGCCACCUUCAAAAAAAUCUUUGUUCUCUCUUGUAUUUUCUUUUUUAAAUUUUCAAUCCAAAAAAUUUUGCUAACCCCCCAUUUUACAGAUUCGAUUUCCCUUUUAUAUAGCCCCCCUAAAUCUUUUUUACAACUUGCUAUCCCCCCCAUUUUGCUUGCUGCUCGUGGUUCUUUUUAUUGCAGGUACAUGCGUGUAUGGGAAUUGCUGCGACGUGGGGCAUGCACGGCGCUGGAGGUUGCUGAGACGUGGGAUGUUGUUGCGAGGGAAGAACGUGGGCAGUUGCGGCAUAGGGCGAUGGUGGCGUCAAGGCUCUCUGCUGGUUAGGCUAGGGAUUUGGGUUAAUGACUUGGGCUUGUAAUGGGUUUGGGCCUUAGGCUUAGUUGGGCCCGGACAAUAAUUGGGUAUUACAAAUAUAUAAAAUGUAUUGGCCAAAAAUUAUAUACAAAAAAUUGUUCUUAAUUUUUUUUUUUAAGUAAACAAACAAUACAGACUAUUUUUUUUAGCGAUACACUUAACAACUAGAUUGAUUUAAGAGUUAAUUGGUAUAACUUGUUAAUCCGGGUAACUACAUUUUCUUCUUCUUCUUCUUCUUCUUCUUCUUCCAUUUUCUGUUUGUUUCUAUAUGUAUUUUGCUUAAUGUUUACUAAUUACAUUGAUCUCUUUUACUGGAAUUUUGUGCGAGUACCAGAUACAGAUAUUUUGCCGAAUUCUUUUUUUAAGUUUCUGUCUGUAUUUUGCUUAAUGUUUGUUUCUGUCUGUUUCUUUUUUUAACAUAGACUUCAAUAGUGACAUUAAGCUAGAUCGUUUUAGAUGAUCUGUUACGUAUGUUACUUGCAGUUUAUAGUUAUUUUUAAUUGAAAAGAGUUUAGUUGAGGAGUAAGAAGAAGACAGCACUUAUUUGAUGAGGGGUGUUAUAAAAUACUUGAGUCAUAUUAUGACAGAUUACUUGUGCAAGCUCCAAUAUAGUGGCUGGAGUUGAUAUUGUCAUAUCACAAUGAAGUUCUCAGAAUUUUGAAAUUGCAUGGGAUUCGAGUUUAAUGAAUUUAUUAUAAUGUUUACUGAGAUCACAAGCUUAGUUUCUUCAUUUAAUCUCAUCUUCUUUUUUUUAUGUUUUUGCUUUGUUUUAUUGCAGAAACAAGCAACAUUGAAAUCGAUUUGGCUUACCUUAGCUUCCUUUCCCGUAAGCUUUCAUUUACAUUUUCCUUUUAGAAUUUAAUUUAAUUUGAUUUUCUUUUAUUUUACUUUGUACAACAUUUUACAAUUAAAUGCAGGAUUAGCAGAUUUUCUAGAUGAUAAUUUGUGUCAUUAUCUCAAAAGAUUGUUAUGAUUAUUGAUUCCUCUGAAAAAGAAGUGAACUUCCAAAAUAUUAGAGGAAAAGAAAAACUUAAAUUUUGAUUAAAUUAUGGUAAUGUUAUGCUAAAAUUGUUUAUCUACUAGUAGGAAAAUAAUGGGAUUGAGAAAUAGAGAUGCUUCUAUUUAUGAAUUUGGAUUGGAUUUAUGCAGUUUGGAUUGGAAAAUAAUUGUUCUUAGCAGAUGAAUGAUCAUAGAAAUAUUUGUUUUUUUAUUAAAAUUGAUUUAUUUUUUAUAGAGCAUGUACUUUGCAUUUAAUUGAAGUCUAGAUGAAAUUGAUUUAUUUUUUAUGUACCACCUUUUAUUAAAAAAUGUCCAUAAUAUAUUUUUAUAUUAUUUCUCAAAUUUAAUAUUUAAAGCGAUUGAAUUUUAGAUAUUCUUUUAUUAUACAAUAUUACCAUUUGAUAUUAAUAUGAUAAUAUCUAAUUUUUCAAGUAAACUUUGACAAAAUGGUAUUUUUUUUAAAUUCGUUAAGUUGGUUUAUUAAUAAGAUAUUGUAAAACAGAUUGCAAAAAGUAAAAACAAUAUAAAUAUACAGGAAAAUAAUGUGCCGGGCCGGGCUCGGGCUUAGUAUUUUUUCUUGGGCCGGGCUUGAACAAAAUUUCAGACCCAUAUUUUUUUCUUGGGCCCGGCCUAGGAAAUGGGCCGAAUUUUUUUCUUGAGCUCGGCCUAAACCCGGCUCGGCUCGGCCCAUGAGUACCUCUAAUUGCCACCCACCAUAAUUAAAUUUGUGUCUCUGCCCAUAUGUAAGUUUGAGUUUUUUGCCCUUAUCUUAUAGGCGGUUCCCCUUCUUCGAAAGUUGAGGUUGCCUUCUAAAGUCAGAGUCCAGUUUUAAGCCUAUUAACUUCCAUCAUCUCAUAAUUUACUUAUUAAUCUUUUAUAAAAGGCUUAGUUGCUUCAAUUAUCAUCUGACUCUUGUCAUCAUUUAUUUUGAAAUUAAAAAAAUAUAUUAAAUAUAAUUAAAAGUUAUUUUAAAGAUAAAAUAUGAAAUUGAUAUCAAUAAAAAAUUUUAAUAUAAAAGAAAAAAUUUGGGAGGCUUGGGGGAAGUACAAUUUUUUAGGGGAAGUAAAAAUUUGAGAGAGAGUAAAAAGGAAAAAAAAAAUUGGGGUUUGAGAGGAAAUAAAAUUUUUUAGAGAAAGUAAAAGGGAAAUAAGAAGGUUUGAUAUUUAGUUUAUUAGAAUUAUUCGAGUUAUUCGAAUUCGAAAAUUAACUCUAUUCGAACUCGAAAUUCAAAAAAAAAUUGGAGUUAAUUCAAUUAACUUGAUUAAUUCGAUUCAAAUAUUUGGAAAUUUGAUUUUUUUUUCAAUUUUGUCGAGUCGAAUCAAAUUUUGCUCACCCACAAUAUGAUAAGGCGUCUGGGCAAAGAGUAAUUGGAGGAUGCAGCUGGGGAAGAAAGUAUGUGCAAUAAACACGAAUGAAGAUAGUGAAAAAGGAUUUUGAUGGUGGACGAAAAGGUUUGACUUUGGUUUAGAGGGAAAUUUUGACCCAAAAAAGAAAAUGUAAAAUUGACUCUCGCUCUUUUUUUAACGGGAUUUAACAUUGGUUGGGUCACUAAAAUGAAAAUUUCCCCAAUGGCAAUGGUUAAAUUUUAAGUAUUUUUAUUUAGAUGAUCAAAAUGAAAGCUUCUAAAAAGUUUGAUGACCAGCUAGACAGUUUGCCCUAAAUUUUCUUCCUUGUCUUCUCUAAUGUGUUGGAUUUAAUCCAAAUCGGCCCUUCACAAGUAGACUAUUUAAUUCAAUGGGUUGGACUCAGUUCAAGGCCCAAUACUCAAACUUCAUAUUUUUCUUUGGUUUAUAUGUGUCUUUGAAGUCUUUACGCUCUAACUCUCUGCAAUAUCCAUCUCCAGCAGCCACUGAGAAAGGAGGUGUGUUCUUUAUUUUUAUUUAUUUUUCUCAUAUAUUUUCCUUCUUUUCCAUUUUAAUUCCAACUCCAACUCUCAAGCUUGUAGAUUUAAUUGAGUUAUUCAAAGUCUCUACCUUUAAGCUUCUGUUCGAUUUUCUUUAAGAUUGCCAAUCUCUUCUUUGAUAUAGGAAGUUAUAUACAUGGGUUAAAAGUGAUAAAUUUAUUAAUGGGUAUUUAGCUUUAAUGGAUAAAACCAACUUCUUUUCUUAGAAAAUGUUACUUUCAAGUAUUGAACUUUGCUUUCUCAAUUUGGAUUAUGUUUAAUAGUUAUAUUCGACUGUUAAACUAUGCAGGCAAUUUUAUGGAGCUAUUUGUUUUGUGUUAUUUGGUUUUUUUUUCUUCUUUAAUUGUUUUGUUUCUAUGGUUGGAGAUACUAAGAUUUGAAAUCCAAACGUAUGAAAUACCACCUCAACAAGUUUCUUUUCUCGUACAUGUCCCUAGCUCUAGCCAUGAAAUUUUGGAACUCUUCUUAGAACAGGAUUUGAAUGAACAUGCAGAAAACUGGUGCAUUAAAUGGGGAUUAGUUUCAUAUUUAGAAACUUAAUAUCAGUACCAAACUUGGUAAAACAAUCGCUUUGUGACCAUUUCAAACAGAGGCACUUUGGGGAAUGGGCUUCGAUGUAGCCAAAAGUCUUUCGUUUCUUGCCAGUUGCCACGUAAAAAAGACUAGCUAGCCAAAACUUGGGAUCAUUGGCAUAAUUUUCUCAAAGCUUUUAAUUAAAGUGUGAACGUCAAUCUUGGACGUUUUCAAUCCCUUUGUCAGGAUAUUUUAUCCGUUGUUUAAUGUCAUUUUCGACUACCAAUCUUUUAACAACUCGUAUUUUUUUAUUUGAUAACUUUGUGCAAAAAAUCUAUGUAUUUUUUUUGAUCAACGUUGAUGGGUUAUGAAUGAAGCCACCAAGUAAUUUACGAGAAACUUUGCUUCAAUUAGUUUCAUAUUUCAUCCACAUAAUGAAUGCUAUAAAAAAAUAACUUUUUAUAAUAAGGAAUGAAUCUAAUAAUCUUUUAUGAUAGCGUAAAUUACACAAUUGAUCAUCGAACUUUUAAAAGUUCUCAUUUUAAAAAAAUUAAAUUUUUCAUUAUAGGCACCACGGUCAAAUAUUAUUCUCAUUUUGAUCGCCCGCGUUUAUUCAAUUUUAGUCACUUAAAUAAAUUUUCAUAUUGGUUCCUUCCUUUUAAUUUUUUUUUAUAAAAAACUAGAAUUUUACAAGGAAUUGAGUUAUUCAAUAUAAAAUCUAAAUUUUUACUUUGUAACUCAAUUCCUUGUAAAAGCUCAAGGUUUUUCCUUGUAAAAUCCAAAUAAUUCAUUACAAAAACCUAGUUUUUCCCUUAUUAUGGAAAAAACACUAAAAUUAAUUUUAAAUGGGAAAAAGGGAAAUGAAAAAAAUAAAUUAUUUUUCAUGCAAAAACCCAAGUUUUCCCUAUAAAAAUCGAGCUAAUUUCCUAUGAAACUAGAGUAAAUUAAAAAAAUAAAAUGAUUUUUCUUGUAAAAAUUUAAACUUUUCCUAUAAAACCCAAUUAAUUCCAGCAAAAACCCAAGGUUCUCUUUUAUUGAAAAUAAACUAAAACAAAUUUUAAAAAUAAAUAAAUGAUUUUUCCAAGUAAAAACCUAUGUUUUACCUUAUACACCUAAGUUUUUCCCUUUUACCAAGAAAAAUUAAAAUUAAUUCUAAAAUAAAAUAAAAAGGAUAAAAUAAAUGACCAAAAUGAAAACUUACUAAAAUUGGAUAACUAAAAUGAACAAUGAAUUAAUGACAAGUGACCAAAAUGAAAAUAAUUUUUAACGGAAUGAAAAUGAUUAUUAAUGGGAGUGCCUACAAUAAAUAAAAAAUAUUUUUCAGCGGAUGAACAACAGUGUAACUUUUCACCGAUCUUGCAGGGUUUGUAUCAAACUCAGGCUCCAUCUAGUAGUCUUCCAAUGAAGGAUACUGCUAUUGUUAUCUUCCACUGGGCUUAUAAUUCCUUGGAUCACUUAAUAUUGAAGUCGAUAUUACAAGAAACAGGCAAAUCGGAAUACUACUAAUAUCCGAUUUCCUUUCAAAUGUAUUUUUGCAAACAUACGUUCGACACAAGUACUCCAAAAAGAAAUGAAGAAUGAGAGCCAUGUAGCUUAUUGCCUAUCCCUUAGUAAAAUCUGCAAAACAUACAGUAAGGAUUUGCCUUGGAACAUAGCCAUUGAAAUCAAGAUCAAAGCACAUGAUGGGUGCUAUGAGAUGGUUGGAGUGUUAUAGUUAUUGCAAAUGCCAAUAUGAACACUAGCACACAGGAGAGCUUUGCCUUGAAGCACUAAUGAAAUUGUGUUUAAUCUUUGCAAAACUAUUUUGGCUAAAGUGUUUGUCUAAAGUUUAGUGAUUGCAGACUGUUACAUUCCCAACAAUAUAAAGCUAUAUACUCAGAUUGAUAGUUUAGUUUCAUGAGCAUUGCAGUGAUUAUAAUCCCAAUAACAUUAAUUCUUAACACCUUCCAUGAAAAUACUUCGACAUUGCACUACCAUUAACAUUUUCACCAAACAGUUAAUGCUGGAGCGGUCCGUCUGUUAGAUGUUACUCUAAGCUCCUAUUCUGAUUUGCUAGGCAAGAACGAGUUGACACAAUUGUUCUUGAAAGGCCUGCAUCAAGCCUCAUUAAGUAAAAAAUGGUUGAAGCUUAANNNNNNNNNNNNNNNNNNNNNNNNNNNNNNNNNNNNNNNNNNNNNNNNNNNNNNNNNNNNNNNNNNNNNNNNNNNNNNNNNNNNNNNNNNNNNNNNNNNNNNNNNNNNNNNNNNNNNNNNNNNNNNNNNNNNNNNNNNNNNNNNNNNNNNNNNNNNNNNNNNNNNNNNNNNNNNNNNNNNNNNNNNNNNNNNNNNNNNNNNNNNNNNNNNNNNNNNNNNNNNNNNNNAAUUGCAGCAUCAAACAUGUCGAAGGGAAACCUCCAACUGCUCUAUCCUCUUAGCCAGAUCAUGCUUCCCACAAUUCUUUAAACCAUCCGUAACCAUAUCAAAGCACCUUGAAAUUGGUGCUAAUCCCAGCUCAGUCAUCUCCACCAAAUAAUUUGCUGCCUCUACAAAUCUGCCUCCACGUCCACACAUUGUUAUCAACAUUGUAUAGACCGGUCUGUUUGGAGCAUGACCCUUGAUCUUCAUCUCACCGAAAAAGCUAAAUGCAUCAUCAAACUGCCCUUUCCUACACAAGCCUUUGAUUAUAGGUGCAUACAAACUAGGGAAUGGCUUAUAACCUUGUUCAAUUGAAUUAUUUAAAAGUCUAAAAGCCUCGUCGAUCCUACCAACUUUUGAAGCUGCAGGUAUCAAUAUUUUGUAAGUAUUAAUAUCCGGACAAAGCCCCAAUUUACAAACACUAUGAUACAUAUCGAUGCAGAAAUCAAUCUCCUCAGUUUUACAGAUUGUUUCCGCCAAAGAAUUAAAUGUAGCAAUGUCAGGCACAAACCCUUCCUUGGUCAUUCUUCUUACCAUUUUCUUGGCUGAUUCAAGAUAACCUGCAUUCAACAAACCUUCUAUCAACAAAUCUCGACCUCGAACCGGAGGAUUAAACCCCUUCUUGCUCAUGUCCUCCAAGAAGUCUUGCGCUUCCUUCAUCUUCCCGGAGGAACACCAUCCAUUCACCAGAACUGUGUAUGUCCUCUUGUCUGGUAACUCACCUUUCCUAAUCAUCCUCCGGAUUAAUGCAUAUGCUCCAUGGAACAUCUUCACCUCACAAAGUGCAAAGAGCAAUGAAUUGUAAACGCUAACGGUCUGUUUGCAACCUAAAUUAGUGCUUUUGUUGAAAACUUCCACAGCCUGGUCUAUGAGGCCGUUCUUCCCGUACUCUUCAAUGAUAAAAGACAGGAUAUCACAAGAAAGGCUAAGCUGCUGCUUUUGCAUUUGUUGAAUGGUUUUCCACAUGGAUUCAUACUUCCUAUGGAGAAUGAGGAUCUUGACUAGCUCCUCAAAUUCGACGGAGGUGGGGGUGUAGUGGGAACGGGCCCAUGAGAAGAAGCGAAGAGAUUCUGUAGGGGAGUUUGAGCAGGAACGAAGUAUGCGGAAUACAAGUUCAGAGUUCACAGAAAGGUUCAUGCGGUUGAGAGUGCGCUCUGGAUGAACUUCACGACGAAUGAUGUUGGAAAUGUGGUGGAUAGCUGCAAAAUAGUCAUCUUUCGAAACAGAAGGGAUGGAAACAGAAGUACCUUGGGGGAGAAUUUGCUAAGGUUAGGGUCCUAAAGGAACAGAGAAUGUUUUGUGAUUUAUUUCUAUAUUUGUGGAGCAGCUGUGCAGACCAGAGCAUUUGCAGUAGAAGUUACAGUCCAGUAACCUUCAUUUCCACCUCGAUACUCGUUAAUUGACAGAAGCAACAGAGGAAUAAUAUGCUGCAAUUUCAAAGAACUUCC